UUUUUUUUUGUGAAAAUGAGCCUAGUUUAUUUUUUCUGAAGAAUACCCAAUCCAGGCCUACUUAUUUUUCUACGCCCUGAUGGGCUGCAACUCUUUCAAGACGCCUGCAAAUCUUGAAAGUAAUAUGAAAUGGGUUGUAAAUAUAAAAACAGAUGACAAAUUGGCAAUUACUUUAUAAUUUCUGAAUUUUUUUCACAUUUUCAGAUUUCUAUUUCACUGGGCAUUAACCUAAUUUAAAUAUAUCUUCAAAGUACUUUAAAUUUGGUUCGACAUUUUGGUAUUAAAAAUAGUUUGGAACCCACAAAAAUAUGCGAAAUUGGCCCUGGCCAACCAAAAAAACAACUGCAAUAAAUUGCAUAAGAAGUUGCCAUGAGCUAUAUAUAAAUUAUUAAAAAAAGAGGGAGUGGUCUGACUUGUGGGCCUGUUUAGUUGACGCGUAUGCAAGAUUUUUUUAGUUAUUAUAUACGUCAACAAACGAUUCUAGUAGACGUAACCGUUGGAUGUCAAUCCAACGGUCAUCGUGUUUCUUCAAUCUUUGAUCCUCUUGCUCCAGCCACCAAAGCAGCGUCGGCGGGACCGCCUACUCCCGCCUCCUGUGGCAGGUUGUGCUGCCGGGCAGGCCUCGGCGCCCCCUACUACUCCCACCGCUGGCCAGGGCAUCCCUCUACUCACCCACACCCCCUGUUAUUCUGCGGCGACUACGGCCAAACCGGUGAACCCUCGUACUCCUCUCCGCGCGGGCUUCCACUGCCGUGUCUUCCCCGGCUCCGCGUCGUCCCCUUCCUAGGCCUCACGUCGUCGUGGUGCUCUCGGCGCGGCGUGGUCAAUGUGGUCAACGACCGACUUCCAUCGGAAGAGUACUGUACGUGGAGAGGCUGAAGUUGGGUCCACGGCAGCCGCAAGGAAGUGCCUCCUUAUUACGCGGAAAAUAAUUAUUCCUCCACCUGACAGCAGGGACCCACCAGACGGGCCACUGGUAUUUCGCGAAAAAAACAUUUCUCCCUGACUGCUGGGACCCACAGGACGGGCCACCGUAUUUCGCGAAAAAAACAUUACCCCCACUGUCAGCUCAGACCCAUCGGAAGUGCCUCCUUAUUACGCACAAAAAAAAUGAAUACCCCCUGCUAGCUGGGACCCACCUUGGUGGGAGGCUGACUUGUGGGCCUACUAAGUUGACUGGGACGGGGGCCUUUGUCAACUUUAGUCAAUAUAUGAACGAUUCUAGCUCCAUUGACUGUACGAUGUCCAUCCAACGGCCGUAGUGCUUCUUCAACCUCUGGUCUUCUUGCUCCAGCCGCCCAAAGCAGCAUCGGUCGUGCCGCCUGCUCCUGCCACCCGUGGUCGGCUGUGAUGCCGCGGAGGCCUCACCGCCCCCUACUACUCCCACCGCUGGCCAGGACAUCCCUCUACGCACCCACACCCCCUGUUAUUCUGCGGCGACGGCAGCCUCACACCGCAGCCGAACGAGUGAACCCUCAUACUCCUCUACACGUGGGCAUCCACUGUCGCGUCUUCCCCGGCUCCGCAUCAUCCCCUUACUAGGCCUCGUCGUCGUCCACCGCCCCGGUGCUCUCGUCUCCUUAUUACGCACAAAAUAAUUAUUCCUCCACCUGACAGCUGGGACCCACCGGACGGGCCACUGUAUUUCGCAAAAAAAAUGUUUCCCCUGACUGCUGGAACCCACCAGCUACACCUUCGCACGUAAGGAAGUGCGUCCGGGCAAAAAAAAGAUUCGCCCCUGACUGCUGGGACCCACCAGCUACAUCUUCGCAGGCAAGGAAGUGCCUGACAGUCGGGACCCACCUGGUCGAAGUGUACGUAGCAUUGUCAUUCUGGUCGCGAACGUGUACGUACAUAUAUACUGGUUGAUGUAGAGGCGCGCACGUGUCGUAGUAGAGGCGCGUACGUGUCGUAGUAGAGGCGUGCAUGUAGCAUGUACACGUACGUACAGCGGCCAGGGUGCAAGAAAGAAAAUAUGGCAACAUAUGUGUACAUACGGGCGGGGUCUCGAACGCCUACUCGCGCAUACGUACGGCCAAGGCUCGUGUACAUGGCUGGGUCAGAACGGAGAAACAGCGUCGUGUUCAUGGGGAAGCAACGGAAUGCGUCGUGUUCAUGGGGAGGCAACGGAAUGCGUCGUGUUCAUCGGGAGGCAAUGGAACGCAUGGGAGCCAACCGGCUGGGUCGGAACGGAAUGCGUGGUCGUGUUCAUCGGGAGGGCUUCGACGGAACAGGCGAUGGAAACGAGGCCUGGCGUACCGCAAAACGGAGGAAACUGACCUCCUACGGUCCAAACGGGGGUCCUGUUGAUCGGGAGGGGUGUGGCGUACCGCACAACGGACGAAACAGACCUCCUACGGUCGAGACGGAUCUCCUACGGUCGAAACGGGGGUCCUGUUGAUCGAGAGGGGUGUGGCGUACCGCAAAACGGACGAAACGGACCUCCUACGGUCGAAACGGGGGUCCUGUUGAUCGGGAGGGGUGUAGCGUACCGCAAAACGGACGAAACGGACCUCCUACGGUCGAAAAGGGGGUCAUGUUCAUCGGGAGGGGUGUGGCGUACCGCAAAACGGGACUCCACGGGAUACUGUUCAUCUCCACCGUCGACCUCCUCCAGCCUCCACGGGUUACCGUCGACCUCCUCCAGCCUCCAUGGGCUCCUAUUCAUCCAGCCUCCACUAUGCGCUACUCCACCGGCUACUAUUCAACCACCCCUCCACCGUCUACUGUUCAUCCUACCCUCCACACCACGGGGUCCUAUUCAACCACCCCUCCACGGGCACCCCUCCACCGUCUACUGUUCAUCCAGCCCUCCACCACACCACGGGGUCAUGUUCAUCCAGAGGCAACGCCACCGCUCACUGUUCAUCCAAACCCCCCUCCCCCCCGCAACGCUCACUGUUCAUCCCAGAGGCAGCAUCAAUCGGCUUCAGUUAGCAGCAGUAGUGAAGGAAUCGCUCGAUCGGGUUCAGUUAACAGUCAUCGAUUGAUCGCUCGGGUUCAGUAACUCGUAGCCUGCAAUGCAAUCGCUCGGGUUCAGUUAGAGCCCAACGCCUCGCUCAGGUUCAAUUAGAGCCAAUGCCUCGCACACACGCAUGUACGUGUACGAGAAAAACGCGCAUCGCUCGGCCCCCGACCUCCCACUGUAACCGGGAACUCCCCGAAAUUUUUCUUGCCCUCGCUUCUACCACGGUUUUUUCCGUCAUGGACGGCCCAAAGAAUGUCAUGCAGUUGCGUCUCCGGCCCGCCCAAGACAAAAAGCCCAUUUUCUGUCAUGAUUUUUUUGUCAUAGAAGUAGGAUCCCACCACGUCUAUGAUGAUACCGGGUUUUGUCACAAUUAUCGUCAUAGAAGUGUCAUAUGUAUGACAGAAAAAAAUUCGUUCGGCCCAAAAUGUCAUGGAUGUGUCUUUUUUUUGUAGUGUCACUAGCAUGACUCCAAUAACACCAUCUUUAUAUCUAAAACAAAUGCAAGGAAUCAAACUUCUCAUAUAUUCAAUGCUCUUUAUGAAAGUUUUUAUUACAUCUUUCUUGAAACUGACAAACUACUCCAAAAGGAUAUAAGUGAAGAUCAAUGAAUAAUUAUGUAGCUAUGUGAAGACUCUCUCUCAUAAAUAAAAUUUCAGAUCUUAAGUACUUUAUUCAAACAGCAAGCAAAACAAAAUAAAAUGGCAUUCCAAGGAUAGCACAUAUCAUGUGAAGAAGCAAAAACUUAGGUUCAACCAAAACUGACCGAUCAUUGUUGAAGAACAAAGGUGGGAUGCCAACCGGGGCAUCCCCAAGCUUAGAUGCUUGAGACUUCUUGAAAUAUUAAUUAGGGAUGCCUUGGGCAUCCCUAAGCUUGAGAUUUUGUGUCUUCUUCAUUCCUUUUAUGUCAUGGUUUGCCUAAAUCUUAAAAACUUCAUCCACACAAAACUCAACAAGAACUCAUGAGAUAAGUUAGUAUAAAUCAAUGCAAUAACCUUGUUAUUCUCUACUGUAGCAAAUCACUAAAAUUAUUAUUUAGCAUUUCAUACUAAAUGCCUCUGCAUAUUUAAUAAUCCUAUCCUCAAAUAGAAUCAUUAAACAAGCAAACAUAUGCAAACAAUGCAAACAUAACAGCAAUCUAUCUAAACAGAACAGUCUGUAAAGGAUGCAAGAGGAAUCAUACUUUCCUAACUCCAAAAAUUCUGAAAUAUUACCAUGCUGUAGAAAAUUUGUUGUCACUCAUUCCGUAAAAAUUUCAAGAUUUUAUCAUGUGCUGACUAUUCACAAAUAUUCAGACAAUGAUAGGAAACUUUCUGUUUUCAAAACAGCAACAUAUAGACUUGCAAAAUAAGCAUGGUAAAGGCUAUUCUUGACCUUUUUAUUGAACUAAAAAAUGAAAAACAUUACUAUAAAUAACAGCAAGCAAAUCCUAAUAAAAUAAAAUGAUGCUCCAACCAAAACUCAUAUCAUGUGGUGAAUAAAAAUAUAGCCUCAAGUAAUUUUACUGAUGGAUUAAAGACAAAAGAGGGGAUGCCAUCUGGGGCAUCCCUAAGCUUAGUUGCUUGUGUGUUCCUUGAAUAUUACCUUUGGGUUCCUUGGGAAUCCCCAAGCUUAGGCUCUUGCCACUCCUUAUUCCGUGGUCCAUCAAAACUUCACCCAAAACUUGAAAACUUCACGACACAAAACUCAAGAGAAAACUCAUAAGCUCUGUUAGUAUAAUAAAGAAAAUCACCACUUAGGUACUGUUGUGAACUCAUUAUAAUUUAAUAUUGGUUUUAUAUCUACUGUAUCCCAACUUCUCCAUGGUUCAUACUCUCUGAUACUACUCAUAUAUUCAUCAAAAUAAGCAAACAACACAAUGAAAACAUAAUCUGUCAAAAACAGAACAAUCUGUAGUAAUCUGGAAACUUCGUAUACUUAUGUAACUCCAAAAAAUCUAAAAAUUAGGACAACCUCGGAAAUUUGUAUAUAAAUCUUGUGCAAAAAGAAUCAGGAUUUUAUAACGCUUCUAUAAAAAAUGAAAAUUAUUUUACUGGGCGCAAAAGUUUCUGUUUUCAGCACGAUCAAAUCAACUAUCACCAUAUAGAUCAUCCCAAAGGUCUUACUUGGAGCUUUAUUGAAACAAAAGCUAUAAAACAUGAUUAAUACAGUAGCCUAAUCAUGUUAACUCACAAAAACAGUAGGUAUAAAUAUUGGGUUGUCUCCCAACAAGCGCUUUUCUUUAAUGCUUUUUUUAGUUAGGCAUGAUGAUUUCAAUGAUGCACUCAUAAAAGAUAAGAAUUGAAGCAUAAUGGGAGCAUCAUUGAUGACCCACAAGUAUAGGGGAUCAAUUGUAUAUCUUUUUGAUAAGUAAGAGUGUUGAACCCAACAAGGAGCGCAAGGAAAUGACAAGUGGUUUUCAGCAAGGUAAUGUCUGCAAGUGCUGAAAUUGUAAGUAGCAGAGUAGUUUGAUAGCAAGAUAAUUUGUAACGAGCAAGUAAAGAUAAUAGUAGAAAAAGUGCAGCAAGGUAGCCCAAUCCUUUUGAGGCAAAGGACAAGCCAAAAUGGUCUCUUAUCAUAAGCAAAGCAUCCAUGAGGGUAGACGGGAUUUUCAUCUAGUCACUUUCAUCAUGUUGGUUUAAUUUGUGUUCGGUACUUUGAUAAUUUGAUAUGUGGGUGGACCGGUGCUUAAGUUUUGUUCUUACUUGAAAAAACAUCUACUUAUGAUUAACCCUCCCGCAAGCAUCCACAACUACGAGAAAAGUAUUAAGAAUAAAUUCUACCCAUAGCAUUAAACUUUUGGAUCCAAUCGGUCCCUUACGGAAUAGCGCAUAAACUGGGGUUUAAGCUUCUGUCACUCUCGCAACCCAUCAUCUAAUUUCUACUCCCCAAUGCAUUCCCUUAGUCCCAAAUAUGGUGAAGUGUCAUGUAGUCUGUGUUCACAUGACACCACUAAGGGAAUCACGCCAUACAUACUAUCAAAAUAUCGAACACAUAUCAAGUUCACAUGAUUACUUGCAACAUGAUUUCUCCCGUGACCUCAAGAACAAAAGUAACUACUCACGAACGAUAAUCAUGCUCAAGAUCAGAGGGGUAUUAAAUAGCAUAUUGGAUCUGGACAUAUAAUCUUGCACCAAAUAAACCAUAUAGUAAUCAACUAUAAGAUGUAAUCAACACUACUAGUCACCCACAUGCACCAAUCUAUACUUCCGGUAACAAGAUUGAACACAAGAGAUGAACUAGGGUUUGAGAUGAGAUGGUGCUGUUGAAGAUGUUGAUGGAGAUUGCCCUCCUCAAGAUGGAAGAGUUGUUGGUGAUGAUGAUGACAAUGAUUUACCCCUCCGGGAGGGAAGUUCCCCCAGCGGAAUUGCUCCGUCGGAGGGCAAAAGUGCUCCUGCCCAAUUUCUGCCUCAAGACGGUGGCGCUCCGUGCCGAAAGUCCUCUCCUUAUUUUUUUCUAGGUCAAAAUGACUUAUAUACCAAAAGAUGGGCACCGAAGGUGGGCCUGGGUGAGCACAACCCAUCAGGGUGCGCCUGGGCUCCCUGGUGCGCCCAGGUGGGCUGUGUCCACCUGGUGGGCCCCCUCUGGUAGUUAUUUGCUCCCAUAUUCCUCAAAUAAUCCAUAAAAACCUCCAUGAAGUUUCAGCUUGUUUGGAGUUGUGAAGAAUAGGUGGCCUGACGUAGCUUUUUCCAGGUCCAGAUUUCCAGCUGCCGGAAUUCUUCCUCUUUGUGUAUACCUUGCAUAUUAUGAGAGAAAAGGCAUUAGAAUUACUCUAAAAAGCAUUAUUAUGGAUAAAAAAUUAUAAAUAACAGUAAGAAAACAUGAUGCAAAAUGGAUGUAUCAAUCAUGAAGCAUAUGACUAGCACAUUUAAGUCUAGCCCACUUCCUAUGCAUAGGGAUUUUGUGAGCAAACAAUUUAUGGGAGCAAGAAUCAACUAGCAUAGGAAGGCAAAACAAGCAUAACUUCAAGAUUUUCAACACAUAGAGAGGAAAAUUGAUAUUAUUGCAAUAUGUAGAAGCAUAUGUUCCUCUCCCAUAAUAAUUUUCAGUGGAAUCAUGAAUGAAUUCAACAAUAUAGCUAUCACAUAAAGCAUUCUUUCAUGAUUCAUAAGCAUAGAAAUCUUACUACUCUCCAGAUAAGAAAAUUUAUUCUCAUGAAUAGUAGUGGGAGCAAACUCAACAAAAUAACUAUCAUGUGAGGCAUAAUCCAAUUGAAAAUUAAAAUCAUGAUGACAAGUUUCAUGGUUAUCAUUAUUCUUCAUAGCAUACAUGUCAUCACAAUAAUCAUCAUACAUAGAAACUUUUUUCUCAUAAUCAAUUGGAACCUCUUCCAAAAUAGUGGAUUCAUCACUAAGUAAAGUCAUGACCCCUCCAAAUCCACUUUUAUCAAUAUUGUAAUAAGAUUCAACACCCUCUAAAAUAGUGGGAUAAUUAUUAUCUAAAGUUGACACUCUUCCAAACCCGGUUUCAUAAAUAUUGCAAUCAUCAUAAGUAGGAGGCAUGGUAACAUCAUAAUAAAUUUGUACAUAAAAACUUGGGGAGCUAAAAAUAUCCUCUUCAUUAAACAUAGCAUCCCCAAGCUUGGGACAAACAUUAAUUGCAGCAAAUAAAUUCUCAAACAUGUCAUUCUCAUCAAACAUAGCAUCCCCAAGCUUGUGGCUUUGCAUAUCAUAAGCAUAAUCACUCUCAUCAUUAAUAGUAAGAAUAGCACCAAUAGUAUAACAAUUAUUAUCAUCACUACUUUCUAAGUUGGUGCCAAAAAGAUUUCCAAGAUUAUAAGAAGUAUCAUUAUUUGCCCAAUCAUAAUCAUCACAAUGAGUAAUAGGCAUAACAAAAUCAUCCUCAAUAGUUUCUCCGGACAUUGUACCAUAAGACAAAGAAUCACAAUCAUCAUCGAGCGUAUCAUCUUCCAUAUUUAUUUUUGAUUCAUUCUCAUGAGGCAUAACAAUAAUAGGAGCAACAUCACUUGGGAGGAUACCUUUUUACCUUUGCUUCUCCUGCUUUUCUUUUUCUUCUCCACAUCAUGUGUGGGUUUAAUCAACUUUUUGGAGCUCCUCAUUGAUGAGAUUGGUUGCAUAGGAAGCUCAUUCUCGUAACCUGCUUCAUCACGAGAAACAAUAGGAAGAAAAGUGGAGAGCUUUACCCUUUCAUUAGUAUUUCCUUUAUAUUCUAUUGGUUUUCCCAUUUUUCUAUACUUGGAAAUAUAAGCAUUCUCAUUGUAAUUUACCACACAAAACAUAUAGAUAUUUUUAAGAGUAGUUUCAGCAUGGUCGGUGAAUAUGAACGCUUCGAACCAACUAUUUGUAUGUGACAACUCUUCACACCCCCAAAAUAAACAAAGUUCAUUAUAAAGUUCAAGGGUGAUCGAGUUAUUGCAAUAUUUCUCCCCAAUUCGAUCAUGAAAAAGUAUGCAUUGAAAAUUAAGAUGACCAACUCUAUUGCAAAGUUCACAAGUAAUGGGAUGAAGAGAGCAUAAUUUUGUAGAAAAUUUAUCUAUCACCUUAAGCCACCGAUUGGUUUCAUCAUGUUUAUGCUUCUUACAAAAUCUAUCAUCCCUAUAAGGCAUGUCUUCACAAAUUCUAUUCACUCCACAAAAAUUGACGUGCUUAUAAGAAACAUUUUUAUCAUGACUAGUGCAAUCAUCAUUAGUAUCAUGAAUAUUCAUAGCAAGCACACUAACAACAUUGCGAUCAUAUCUACCAUUCAAAGAUUUAGUGCCAAACAUUUUAUUGACUUCUUCUUCUAGCACUUGAGCGCAAUUUUCCUUACCAUCAUUUUCAUGAAAGACAUUAAAAAGAUGAAGCAUAUGAGGCAACCUCAAUUCCAUUUUUUUUGUAGUUUUCUUUUAUGGACUAAACUAGUGAUAAAACAAGAAACUAAAAGAUCCUAUUACAAGAUCUAAAGAUAUACCUUCAAGCAGUAACCUCCCCGGCAACGGCGCCAGAAAAGUGCUUGAUUCUACUAUGCAACCUUCUUCUUGUAGAGUCGUGUUGGGCCUCCAAGCGCAGAGUUUUGUAGGACAGUAGCAAAUUUCCCUCAAGUGGAUGACCUAAGGUUUAUCAAUCCGUGGGAGGCAUAGGAUGAAGAUGGUCUCUCUGAAACAACCCUGCAACCAAAUAACAAAAAGUCUCUUGUGUCCCCAACACACCCAAUACAAUGGUAAUUGUAUAGGUGCACUAGUUCGGUGAAGAGAUGGUGAUACAAGUGUAAUAUGGAUGGUAAAUAUAGGUUUUUGUAAUCUGAAAAUAUAAAAACAGCAAGGUAACUAGUAACAAAAGUGAGCAAAACGGUAUUGCAAUGCUUGAAAACAAGGCCUAGGGUUCAUACUUUCACUAGUGCGAGUUCUCUCAACAAUGACAACAUAAUUAGAUCAUAUGGCAAUCCCUCAAUGUCCGACAAAGAGUCACUCCAAAGUUCAUUUCGUGGAGAACAUAAGAUGAAAUUGUUUGUAGGGUACGAAACCACCUCAGAGUUAUUCUUUCUGAUCAAUCCAUUGAGCUAUUCCUAUAAGUGUCACAAACAGCCCUAGAGUUCGUAGUAAAAUAACACCAUAUGACACACAUCAAUCAACCCUAAUGUCACCUAGAUACUCCAAUGUCACCACAAGUAUCCGUGGGUCAAUUAUACGAUAUGCAUCAAACAACUUUAGAUUCAUAAUAUUCAAUCCAACACAAAGAACCUCAAAGAGUUCCCCAAGAUUUCUAUCGGAGAAACAAAGAUGAAAACGUGCAUCAACCCCUAUGCAUAGAUUACCCCAUUGUCACCUCGGGAAUCCACGAGUUGAGUGCCAAAACAUACAUCAAGUGAAUCAAGAGAACACCACAUUGUCACCAAGGGUAUCCCACUACUGGAAUCAGGAUCUUUGCCAUUAGCUAGCUCUUUGUCGUCAGCUAGCUGAUGGCAAACAAGGUAUUUGCCAUCAGCAUACAGAAAGCUGACGGCAAAGAAAGAGCGGACGGCAAAGAGCAUGUUUAUCAUCAGCUAGCUCUUUGCCAUCAGCUAGCAGACGACAUAGAAGCUUUGCUGUCAGCUAGCGGACGGCAAAGAGGGAGGGUGGACCACUAGUGAGAACCACCUAACGGCCACUUUCUUUGCCGUCUGCUAGCUGACGGCAAAGCUUCUUUGCCGUCCGCGAGCAGACGGCAAAGCUUCUUCGCCGUCCGUGAGCAGACGACAAAGAAAGUGGAAACCUAACGGUCGUUUCCCCCUGUCCCCACCCCACUAGCUACGCUCUUUGUCGUCUACUAGCAAAUGGCAAAGAAAUUAAACCUAACAAAAAAAUUGUCGGCCCCGCGCACCACCCCUCUCUCUCUUCCUCACCUCACCCGUGCCACCCCGGCCCCCCACCGGCCUGUGACCCUGACGCCGUCGACCCCCCGACGCCUAUGCCACCCCGCCGCCCUCGCCGCCCGCGCCACCCCGACGUCGUCGACCCCCCGNNNNNNNNNNNNNNNNNNNNNNNNNNNNNNNNNNNNNNNNNNNNNNNNNNNNNNNNNNNNNNNNNNNNNNNNNNNNNNNNNNNNNNNNNNNNNNNNNNNNNNNNNNNNNNNNNNNNNNNNNNNNNNNNNNNNNNNNNNNNNNNNNNNNNNNNNNNNNNNNNNNNNNNNNNNNNNNNNNNNNNNNNNNNNNNNNNNNNNNNNNNNNNNNNNNNNNNNNNNNNNNNNNNNNNNNNNNNNNNNNNNNNNNNNNNNNNNNNNNNNNNNNNNNNNNNNNNNNNNNNNNNNNNNNNNNNNNNNNNNNNNNNNNNNNNNNNNNNNNNNNNNNNNNNNNNNNNNNNNNNNNNNNNNNNNNNNNNNNNNNNNNNNNNNNNNNNNNNNNNNNNNNNNNNNNNNNNNNNNNNNNNNNNNNNNNNNNNNNNNNNNNNNNNNNNNNNNNNNNNNNNNNNNNNNNNNNNNNNNNNNNNNNNNNNNNNNNNNNNNNNNNNCACGCCACGCGGACGCCCUCGUCGGCCGCGCCACCCCGACGACCAUGCCACCCCGAUGCCCCCGACGCCCUCGCCGCCCCACCGCCCCCGCCGGCCCGGCGCCCUGUCGCCUCGACAACCAGGUGGCCCGCCGUCCCAACGCCCUAGCCGCCCUCACACCCCGCCGCCCCGGUGCCCCGCCGACCCACUCCGAUGAGCUUCCCCCUGUUUUUUUAUUUUUUUUCUACUGCUUGUAAUUAGGUUAGUUUGUACUGUUAGUUUCUUUUUUCCUACUGCUACUAAUUAGGUUAGUUAGUACUGUUAGUUAGGUUAGUUUGAUUUUCUAGGUUAGUUAGGUUAGUGUCAUUCCUCUCAUGUCUUCUUUUGUCAGAUUUUGUAGACUGAAUUUUAUGGCGAAAUGUUAAUCGGGCUAGAAUUUUUCAAAUGGGCUAUCCUUUUGGUGGAUCUUGAGUUGCUUACUGCUACUUGUUCGAUCAUAAGCAUAAUCCUAUUUGCCUAGAGAGCAUUGUCUAACGGCUCAACCAUUUGUUAUGAAACUCUUUAAAUAUUCUUAUUUGAACUCAGGAUCUGUGUAAUGUUUCUGGUUGAUUUUUCUUUCCUAAUUGGAGAUUGUUGUCUAUGGAUCCCGGCGAUGACUUGUGAUGUUAAAAUGUAGUGGCCUGAUUCAUACAUUGAUGAGAUCUAUAUUAUCACUCUGAGUGAUCUGUCCGACAACAUAUCCAACUUUUUUAUGUUUGUGUUUUUUGGGUGAAAUUUCUGUUAUUUGGACACAAAUGUUCAUAAAUUGUUUAUUUGCUUUGAUCUUUGUUGUUAAUUGAUAUGUCUCUGUCGUAUCUACUUUUCCAAACACUUUUGCCCUUGUUUUGGACUCUAACUUCUAUGAUUUGAAUGGAACUAACCCGGACUAACGCUGUUUUUAGCAGAAUUGCCAUGAUGAUGUUUUAUGUGCAGAAAACAAAAGUUCUCGGAAUGACCUGAAACUCCACGGAAUAUCUUACGAUAAAUAAUAAAAAACCCUCGCCAAAGAUGAAGACCAGGGGGCCCACACCCUGUCCACGAGGGUGCCCCCCCUAGGGCGCGCCCCCCUACCUUGUGGGCCCCCUGGAGACCUCCCGACUCCAACUCCAACUCUAUAUAUCUGCUUUCGGGGAGAAAAAAUAGGAGAGAAGAUUUCAUCGCAUUUUACGAUACAGAGCCACCGCCAAGCCCUAAAACCUCUCGGGAGGGCUGAUCUCGAGUCCGUUUGGGGCUCCGGAGAGGGGGAUUCGUCGUCGUCGUCAUCAUCAACCAUCCUCCAUCACCAAUUUCAUGAUGCUCACCGCCGUGCGUGAGUAAUUCCAUCGUAGGCUUGCUGGACGGUGAUGGGUUGGAUGAGAUUUACCAUGUAAUCGAGUUAGUUUUGUUAGGGUUUGAUCCCUAGUAUCCACUAUGUUCUGAGAUUGAUGUUGCUAUGACUUUGCUAUGCUUAAUGCUUGUCACUAGGGCCGAGUGCCAUGAUUUUAGAUCUGAACCUAUUAUGUUUUCAUCAAUAUAUGAGAGUUCUUGAUCCUAUCUUGCAAGUCUAUAGUCACCUAUUAUGUGUUAUGAUCCAUUAACCCCGAAGUGACAAUAAUCGGGAUACUUACCGGUGAUGACCGUAGUUUGAGGAGUUCAUGUAUUCACUAUGUGCUAAUGCUUUGUUUCGGUUCUCUAUUAAAAGGAGGCCUUAAUAUCCCUUAGUUUCCAUUAGGACCCCGCUGCCACGGGAGGGUAGGACAAAAGAUGUCAUGCAAGUUCUUUUCCAUAAGCACGUAUGACUAUAUUCGGAAUACAUGCCUACAUUACAUUGAUGAAUUGGAGCUAGUUCUGUGUCACCCUAUGUUAUGACUGUUACAUGAUGAACCACAUCCGGCAUAAUUCUCCAUCACCGAUCCAUUGCCUAUGAGCAUUCCAUAUAUUGUUCUUCGCUUAUUUAAUUUUCCAUUGCUAUUGCUAUCAUCACUACAAAAUACCAAAAACAUUGCUUUUACUACCAUUACCUUUUGCUACCGUUAUCACUACUAUCAUAUUACUUUGCUACUAAACACUUUGCUACAGAUAUUAAGUUUCAAGGUGUGGUUGAAUUGACAACUCAGCUGCUAAUACUUGAGAAUAUUCUUUGGCUCCCCUUGUGUCGAAUCAAUAAAUUUGGGUUGAAUACUCUACCCUCGAAAACUGUUGUGAUCCCCUAUACUUGUGGGUUACCAAGACUAAUUUCUGGCGUCGUUGCCGGGAAGCAUAGCUCUAUUCUUUGAGUCACUUGGGAUUUAUAUCUGCUGGACACUAUGAAGAAUUUGAAAGACGCUAAGACAACAAUUUAUCCCUCAACUACGAGGGGAGGUAAGGAACUGCCAUCUAGCUCUGCACUUGAUUCACCUUCUGUUAUGAGUAAGCUUGCGACACCUAAACCUGCUUCUGCUAUUUGUUCUGAUAUGUCGCAUGUUAUUGAUGAUGCUACUUCUGCUAUACAUGAUACUUAUGAUGAAACUACUUCUAUGCUUGAUACUACUGUGCCACUUGGUGAUUUUCUCGAGGAACGACUUGUUAGGGCUAGAGAGAUUGAAAAUAUUGAUCUGAUUAUGAUGAUGAAAGUGAUGAUGAAGAAUCACUUGUUAUUCCUGAGGGUUAUUUAUUUGAUCAAGAAGCUUCUUUAGCUAUUUUAGCUUGCAAAGGUAGAUAUGAACUCAAAAGGUUAUUAGCUAAAUGGAAUAAGCAAUCUCCAAAUGCUAGGAUGAAACCUGACCCUCCUUUUGCUACUUCACCUAUCUGUGUUACUGAUAAGGAUUAUGAAUUCUCUGUUGAUCCUGAUAUAAUUACUUUGGUUGAAUAUGAUCCUUUUCAUGACUAUGAAUCUAAAACUGUUGUGGCACAUCUUACUAAAUUAAAUGAUAUAGCCACCCUGUUCACUAAUGAUGAGAGAUCUCGCUACUUUUAUAUCCUUAAAAUAUUUCCAUUCUCAUUAAAGGGUGAUGCUAAGAUAUGGUUUAAUUCUCUUGAUCCUGGUUGUGUGCGUAGUCCCCGGGAUAUGAUCUAUUACUUCUCUGCUAAAUAUUUCCCUGCUCAUAAGAAACAAGUUGCUUUAAAGGAAAUAUACAACUUUGUGCAAAUUAAAGAAGAGAGUCUCCCACAAGCUUGGGGGAGGCUUCUCAAGUUACUUAAUGCUUUGCAUGAUCAUCCUCUUAAGAAAAAUGAAAUACUUGAUAUCUGUUAUAAUGGACUAACCGAUGCUUCCAGAGAUUACCUGGAUAGUUGUGCUGGUUCUCUUUUCAGGGAAAGAACACUGGAUGAAGCUGAAAUCUUAUUGAACAAUAUGUUGACAAAUGAAAAUAAUUGGGCACCUCCUGAGCCAGCUCCUGCUCCAAUUAAUGAGCCCAUUCCUAAACCAACUCCGAAGAAGAGAGGUGUUCUAUUUCUCAGUCCCGAAGAUAUGCAAGAGGCAAAGAAAUCUAUGAAAGAAAAAGGUAUUAAAGCUGAAGAUGUUAAGAAUUUACCUCCUGUUGAAGAAAUACAUGGUCUUAAUUUACUACCUGCCGAAGAAACAUAUGAUCUUGAUCCUUUACUUAUUGAAGAACCUCCAGACCUCGAUAACCCGACACAGGUAGUAAAGGUAAAUUCUCUCUAUAGAUAUGAUAGAGCUGAAAUCCCUCCUACUAAAAUUGCUAGUCAGUGCUUGGAUGAGUUUGAUAAUUUUAUGUUUAAGCAAGAAGACUCCAAUGCUUAUUUUGGUAGACAAUUAAAACAAGAUGCUGAUAUGAGUAAAUACUUGGGUGAUUAUAUGGCUAAUAUUAGAGGUGAACUUAAACUUGUUAGCAAACAUGCUUCUAUGGUUACCACUCAAGUAGAACAAGUACUUAAAGCUCAAAAGGAAUUGCUCAAUGAGAUGAAUAGUAAGAAAAAUAAUUAUGUUGUUAAAGUGGCUACUAGAACUGGUAGAAUGACUCAGGAACCUUUGUAUCCUGAAGGCCACCCUAAGAGAAUUGAGAAAGAUUCUCAGAGAAAUAAUAUUGAUGCACCUAUUUCUUCUAAAAAGAAGAAAAAGAAAAAUGAUAGAACUGAGCAAACUUCUAGUGAACCUAUUGCUGAACCACCUGAUAAUCCAAAUGAUAUCUCUAUGUCUGAUGCUGAAACACAAUCUGGCAAUGAACAUGAACCUAAUGAAAAUGUUAAUGAUGAUGUUCAUAAUAAUGCUCAACCUAGUAAUGAUAAUGAUGUAGAAAUUGAACCUGUUGUUGAUCUUGAUAACCCACAAUCAAAGAAUCAAUGUUAUGAUAAGAAAGACUUUGUUGCUAGGAAACAUGGUAAAGAAAGAGAACCUUGGGUUCAGAAACCCAUGCCUUUUCCUCCCAAACCAUCCAAGAAAAAGGAUGAUGAGGAUUUUGAGCGCUUUGCUGAAAUGAUUAGACCUAUCUUUUUGCAUAUGUGAUUGACUGAUAUGCUCAAAAUGAAUCCUUAUGCUAAGUACAUGAAAGAUAUUGUUACAAAUAAAAGAAAGAUACCAGAAGCUGAAAUUUCCACCAUGCUUGCUAAUUAUACUUUUAAGGGUGGAAUAUCAAAGAAACUUGGAGAUCCAGGAGUACCUACUAUACCAUGCUCCAUUAAAAGAAACUAUGUUAAAACUGCUUUAUGUGAUCUUGGAGCCGAUGUUAGUGUUAUGCCUCUCUCUUUAUAUCAUAGACUUGACUUGAAUAAGUUGACACCUAUUGAAAUAUCCUUGCAAAUGGCUGAUAAAUCAACUGCUAUACCUGUCGGCAUUUGUGAGGAUGUGCCUGUUGUGGAUGCAAACGUUACUAUUUUAACGGACUUCGUUAUUCUUGAUAUUCCCGAGGACGAUAGUAUGUCUAUUAUUCUUGGAAGACCUUUUCUUAAUACUGCAGGGGCUGUUAUUGAUUGCAACAAAGGCAAUGUCACUUUUCAUGUUAAUGGUAAUGAGCAUAGGUACAUUUUCCUAGGAAACAACCUCAAGUUCAUAGUAUCAAUUCUAUCGGAAAAAUUCCAUCAAUUAUAUUUGGAGGUUUUGAAUUUCCUCUUCCUACUGUCAAGAAGAAAUAUGAUAUACUUAUUAUUGGGGAUGUGCAUAUCCCCGUUGAGGUAACCUAGUGUUAUUCGAAAUUUCUCUGGUUUCAUGUUAAUCGGAAUGAGUGUGUUAACAAGACUUGAUCAACCUUGUCAGUGGAUUCCUUUUGAUGAGCAUGAGAUGGAUGAAACUAGAAGCACAACCUUCUGUACCCUCUCUAUACUUUCUGUUAUUUAGUUGAAAUAAAGUAAAAAUAAAUAAUUUUCUGUCUGUUAUCUGAUUAUCCGUGCAAUAUAAAAAUAGCUCAAAAAUAAAAGUUCUCCAAAUGCCCUGAAAAUUAGAUAUGAUUUUUUCUAGAAUAUUUGAGGAUUUAUGGAACAAAGAACACACCAGGGGGGCAACCACCUUGCCACGAGGGUGGAGGGCGCGCCCCCUGCCUCGUGGGCCCACGAUGGCCCUCCUCCACUUAUUCCUGCACCCAUCCUCUUCUUCUUCCUCCCACAAACAUGAAAAACCAACUCAAGCACGAGUUCCAGCCCUCUUUGCUGCCAUUUUCGAUCUCCUUGCUCAAAGCACCUCUCACAAAACUGCUUGGGGAGAUUGUUCCUUGGUAUGUGACUCCUCCAUUGGUCCAAUUAGUUUUUGUUCUAGUGCUUUAUUCAUUGAAAAAAUUUGCUGCUUAGGUGACCCUGUUCUUGAGCUUGCAUGUCAAAUUUAUAUGGUCAAAAGUAGUUUUGAUGCAUGAUAUAGGCCCUAGGCACUUGUAGGAGUGGUUGCUAUCAAUAUUAUUGAGUUUGGUUUACUUUUAUUUUGAAGUUACUAAAAAUUUCAGAAUUUUUCAGAAAAUGAUGAGGAGAUUAUUGAGGGGCUCAUCGAGCCAAAGCUCGAAGGAAAAGGAACCGAAGCCUAAGUAUAAUUUGCCGCGCACCGCGGAGGUUCGGGCAUGUGAAUGGCCUUCCGAGGAUUUAUUGAGAGCAGCCGGGAUUUAUGAAGAUUUUCAUGAGUUGGCUCGUAAUGCAGGCCUCACCGCUUUCCUCCACGACCAAUGCGAACAGUAUCUCUUACUCACAAAUACCUUUGUGCAAAACUUUCAUUUUCAUUCUAGGAACUCACCACCUACGGUGGAGUUUCAUUUAUAUGAUGAGCAUAAGGAGAUGUCACUUUAUGAUUUUUAUCGGAUUUGUUUAGUCCCUUUUGAGGGCAAGACAGAAGAACCACAUCGUGAUGGUGUGGAGGGAUUUAUUGAUACUAUCAUUGUAGGGGAAACUAGGAAGGUUUCCGAUGCACGAAUCACUAGCAUACGUUUUCCUGUCUUACGUUACUUUGCAUUAUUUGCUAGUCGUUGCUUAAUUGGUCGCGGAAACUGUGGAAACCUUAGUAUCCCUGAUAUUAUUAUUUUGGUCCAAGGUUUAUACAGUGAUAACACUUUUAGUAUGGGUGGUAUUAUUGCUAAAUGGUUAAGUCUGAACUGUACAAAGGGCCCCAUCUUUGGAGGCAUCUAUGCUACACGCCUAGCUGCACAUUUUAACAUACCUAUUAGGCAUGCUGAGAAGGAAGAAAAAGCAUUGGCUCGUGUUUAUCUAGAUUAUAAAAGUAUGGUGGCACAUGAUUUUAUUAUUAAGAAUAGGGCAGGAGAGCUUAAAUAUCAAUUAUUCUUUAAUAAACAUCAUCCUGAGACUAUUACAUUGCCUGCUCCUUCUUUGUUUGAUUUGACUGUAGGCACGUACCUUGUUCCGUUGAUGGCUAUUCACGCCUACCGGAACCCUACACCAGCCGAGGAGCCAGAACCGGAACCACAAUUUGAUCCUUCACGACAGUCUAACUAUCAGUGGGAUCCGGAGAUGAUUGCCAGCCAGUGGCAUCGGAGCCUUCUUCUUCCUCAUCGCAGUACGACCCCAACUAUUAUUAUGGAUAUCUGUCAGGCCAGCCGUGGCCAUAAACCAACUUAGGCCAAAAGCCUAAGCUUGGGGGAGUACGUAUUUCUCACCGACAUUACAUUUAUGUUCGAACACACUCAUUGCUAGAUGUCGGUGUUCAUACUUUUUCAUUGUAUCAUCCAUACUAGUUUAUUUCCUUUUAUGCUUUCUUCUUGUGUGUUUAAUAAACCUUAAGAAAAACAAAAAUUAGUAGUAGUUUACUUUUCUUGCUGUAGUAAUAAUUAAAAAUAAAACCCAAAAAUAUUUCCCGUUCUUCUUUUGCUUGUUGGGAGCUUUCCCGUGUAAAUAGUUUUAUUUCUUUUCUUUGGGGGUCAGUAGGAGAAGACCAUGAUUAAAUUGUUGAAGUGGCUCGUAUAUGCUUUAUUGUUGAUUUAACCAAGAUCCCAUAUUGCUUUGUCUUCUCCUGUUUAUUGAAUGCUCGCAGAUUCCAGCUUAGUCCAAUGCACAUGCACUCUUAUUAUUAUUCACAUCGUUCUGUCGUGCAAGUGAAAGGCAAUUAUGAUGAUAUAUGAUGGACUGACUGAGAUGAGAAAAGCUGGUACGAACUCGGCCUCUUUUGUUUUUGUAAAUAUGAUGAGUUCAUCAUUCUUGAUUCAGCUUGUUAUGAAUAAACAUGCUCGCAAUGACAAUUAGAGAUCAUAGUUGCUUAUGCCACGCUUGAUUAGCUAUGAGUUAUAAUGGUUUACCUUGCAUGCCAACAUGCUAUUGAGAUGGUUAUGAUGUGGUAUGAUGGGGUGGUAUCCUCCUUUGAAUGAUUUAAGUGACUUGACUUGGCACAUGUUCACGCAUGUAGUUGAAACAAAUCAACAUAGCCUUCACAAUAUUUAUGUUCAUGGUGGAUUAUAUCCUACUCAUGCUUGCAUCCAAUGUCUAUUAAUUUUAAUGCAUGUACAUGGCUGUUGUCGCUCUCUAGUUGGUCGCUUCCCAGUCUUUUGCUAGCCUUCACCUGUACUAAGCAGGAAUACUGCUUGUGCAUCCAAUCCCUUAAACCCCAAAGUUAUUUCAGAUGAGUCCACUAUACCUUCCUAUAUGCAGUAUCUACCUGCCGUUCCAAGUAAAUUUGUAUGUGCCAAACUCUAAACCUUCAAAUAAUCAUCAUGUUUUGUAUGCUCGAAUAGCUCAUGUAUCAACUAGGGUUGUCUGUAUCUUCCAUGCUAGGCGGGUUAUUCUCAAGAGGAGUGGACUCCGCUCCUCACUCACGAGAAAAUGGCUGGUCACCAGGAUGCCCAGUCCCAUGCUUUAUGCAAACUAAAUCAAAAAUAAUUGCAAAACAAAACUCCCCCUGGGACUUGAUGUAUGUUGGAGGCACUCGUUGUUUCGAGCAAGCCAUGGAUUGAUGUUUGUUGGUGGAGGGAGAGUAUAAACUUUACCAUUCUGUUUGGGAACCGCCUAUAAUGUGUGAAGCAUGGAAGAUAUCGCCAUCUCUUGGUUGUUAUGUUGACAAUGAAAGUAUACCUCUCAAAAUAUUAUUCACCUCUAUUUCAAAACCGAGCUCUGGCACCUCUACAAAUCCCUGCUUCCCUUUGCGAAGGGCCUAUCUAUUUACUUUUAUGUUGAGUCAUCACCCUCUUAUUAAAAGCACUAGCUGGAGAGCGCAGCUGUCAUUUGCAUUCGUCACUAUUAAUUUAUAUUGGGUGUGACUAUGAUUGGAUAUCUUUUACCAUGAAUUACAAUGUCUAGUCAGUCCUUGAUAUUUAAAGGUGCUCUGCAUUUAUGUUUUGCGGUCUUAGAAAGGGCUAGAGAGAUACCAUCUUGUUAUAUCAUAUUAUGAUUGUUUUGAGAAAGUGUUGUCAUCCGAGAUUUAUUAUUAUGGCUUGCUAGUUGAUUAUGCUAUUGAUAUGGGUAAUCAUGGGACUUGAGAAUUAUUGCAAAUGUGGUUAGUUAUAAUCUUUGCUAAAAAUUUGAAUGCUAGCUUGACAUAUUUGUAACAACAAGAGCAAGCAGAGUUUGUAAAAGUUUUUCUUUAUUUCUUUAAAUUUGUCAACUGAAUUGCUUGAGGACAAGCAAGGGUUUAAGCUUGGGGGAGUUGCUACGUCUCCGUCGUAUCUACUUUUCCAAACACUUUUGCCCUUGUUUUGGACUCUAACUUGUAUGAUUUGAAUGGAACUAACCCGGACUGACGCUGUUUUCAGCAGAAUUGCCAUGAUGUUGUUUUAUGUGCAGAAAACAAAAGUUCUCGGAAUGACCUGAAACUCCACGGAAUAUCUUACAAUAAAUAAUAAAAAAAUCCUCGCCAAAGAUGAAGACCAGGGGGCCCACACCCUGUCCAUGAGGGUGGGGGCGCCCCCCCCCCUAGGGCGUGCCCCCCUACCUUGUGGGCCCCCUGGAGACCUCCCGACUCCAACUCCAACUCUAUAUAUCUACUUUCGGGGACAAAAAAAUAGGAGAGAAGAUUUCAUCCUGUUUUACGAUACGGAGCUGACGCCAAGCCCUAAAACCUCUCAGGAGGGCUGAUCUGGAGUCCGUUCGGGGCUCCGGAGAGGGGGAUUCAUCGCCGUCGUCAUCAUCAACCAUCCUCCAUCACCAAUUUCAUGAUGCUCACCGCCGUGCGUGAGUAAUUCCAUUUUAGGCUUGCUGGACGGUGAUAGGUUGGAUGAGAUUUACCAUGUAAUCGAGUUAGUUUUGUUAGGGUUUGAUCCCUAGUAUCCACUAUGUUCUGAGAUUGAUGUUGCUAUGACUUUGCUAUGCUUAGUGCUUGUCACUAGGGCCCGAGUGCCAUGAUUCCAAAUCUGAACCUAUUAUGUUUUCAUCAAUAUAUGAGAGUUCUUGAUCCUAUCUUGCAAGUCUAUAGUCACCUAUUAUGUGUUAUGAUCCGUUAACCCCGAAGUGACAAUCAUCAGGAUACUUACCGGUGAUGACCGUAGUUUGAGGAGUUCAUGUAUUCACUAUGUGCUAAUGCUUUGUUCCGGUUCUCUAUUAAAAGGAGGCCUUAAUAUCCCUUAGUUUCCAUUAGGACCCCGCUGCCAUGGGAGGGUAGGACAAAAGAUGUCAUGCAAGUUCUUUUCCAUAAGCACAUAUGACUAUAUUCGGAAUACAUGCCUACAUUACAUUGAUGAAUUGGAGCUAGUUCUGUGUCACCCUAUGUUAUGACUGUUACAUGAUGAACCACAUCCGGCAUAAUUCUCCAUCACCGAUCCAUUGCCUACGAGCUUUCCAUAUAUUGUUCUUCGCUUAUUUACUUUUCUGUUGCUAUUGCUAUCAUCACUACAAAAUACCAAAAACAUUGCUUUUACUACCGUUACCUUUUGCUACCGUUAUCACUACUAUCAUAUUACUUUGCUACUAAACACUUUGCUGCAGAUAUUAAGUUUCCAGGUGUGGUUGAAUUGACAACUCAGCUGCUAAUACUUGAGAAUAUUCUUUGGCUCCCCUUGUGUCGAAUCAAUAAAUUUGGGUUGAAUACUCUACCCUUGAAAACUGUUGCGAUCCCCUAUACUUGUGGGUUAUCAUUAAUUUUUGGUUUAAAAUCUUUCUCUAUGAAGAGAGUAUAAGCAGAUCUUUGUUGCUAUCUGGACACUUUUGCUUUGAUCUUUAGACUAGGUUAGUUAGGUUAGUUUCUAGGUUAGUUAGGUUAAUUAGUUUGUAGGUUAGUUAGGUUAGUUUGUAGGUUAGUUAGGUUAGUUUUGUUAACCAGUUCUAGUUUUAGUUUUACUAAUUGCUACUCCUAGAAAACAACCAUGUAAAUGAUUAGGAUUAGGAUGCAUAUACAUCCCUUUUCUUUUGUUUCCUGAAAAUCAGAAAAGAAAAAGAAAAGGCAGGUUUACUCAUCAUUUGUCAGUUAGUUAUAAAAUGACCUAUACUUAGCAUUUCUUCCUACUAAAUGACUUAAUAUGCUUAGUUAGCUAAAAACAAACAUAACUACCUAGGAUAGCUCAAUAAUGAUCUAUACUUAGCUUAGCUAGUUCAUUUAUGACAUAAUUAGCUCACUUGGGGAAAAUGGCAUAAUAACCUAGGUUUAGCUCCAAAAUGACAUAGGCUUAGCUUAUUUUCCUCGAAAAUGACAUAAUAACCUUACUUAGCUCCAAACUGACAUACUUUACCUACGAUAGCUAUAAGAUGACCUAUACUUAGCAUUUUUUCCUACUAAAUUACUUAAUAUACUUAGUUAGCUAAAAACAGGCAUAACUACCUAGGAUAGCUCAAUAAUGAUCUAUACUUAGCUUAGCUAGUUCAUUUAUGACAUAAUUAGCUCACUUGGGUAAAAAAAUGGCAUAAUAACCUAGGUCUAUCUCCAAAAUGACAUAGACUUAGCUUAUUUUCCUCGAAAAUGACAUAAUAACCUUACUUAGCUCCAAACUAGCAUACUUUACCUAGGAUAGUUAUAAGAUGGCCUAUACUUAGCAUUUUUUCCUACUAAAUGAGUUAAUAUGCUUAGUUAGCUAAAAAAUGGCAUAACUACCUAGGAUAGCUCAAUAAUGAUCUAUACUUAGCUUAGCUAGUUCAUUUAUGACAUAAUUAGCUCACUUGGGUAAAAAAAUGGCAUAAUAACCUAGGUUUAGCUCCAAAGUGACAUAGAGUUAGCUUAUUUUCAUCAAAAAUGACAUAAUAACCUUACUUAGCUCCAAACUGACAUACUUUACCUAGGAUAGCUAUAAGAUGACCUAUACUUAGUAUUUUUCCUCCAAAAUGACAAAAUAUGCUUAGUUAGCUAAAAACAGGCAUAACUACCUAGGAUAGCUCAAUAAUGAUCUAUACUUAGCUUAGCUAGUUCAUUUAUGACAUAAUUAGCUCACUUGGGUAAAAAAUGGCAUAAUAACCUAGGUUUACCUCCAAAAUGACAUAGACUUGGCUUAUUUUCCUCGAAAAUGACAUAAUAACCUUACUUGGCUCCAAAUUGACAUACUUUACCUAGGAUAGCUAUAAGAUGACCUAUACUUAACAUUUUUCCUACUAAAUGACUUAAUAUGCUUAGUUAGCUAAAAACAGGCAUAACUACCUAUGAUAGCUCAACAAUGAUCUAUACUUAGCUUAGCUAGUUCAUUUAUGACAUACUUAGCUCACUUGGGUAAACAAAUGGCAUAAUAACCUAGGUUUAGCUCCAAAUUGACAUAGACUUGGCUUAUUUUCUUCCAAAAUGACAAAAUAACCUUACUAAGCUCCAAACUGACAUACUUUACCUAGGAUAGCUAUUAAAUGACCUAUACUUAGCAUUUUUCCUCCAAAAUGACAAAAUAUGCUUAGUUAGCUCAAAAAUGUCAUAACUACAUAGGUUAGCUCAAAAAUGACCUAUACAUAGCUUCUUCUGUUCAUUUAUGACAUACUUAGCAUACAUAGGUAAAAAAUGGCAUGAUAACCUUAGUUUAGCCCAAAAUGACAUAGACUUAGCUUAUUUUCCUCCAAAAUGACAAAAUAACCUUACUAAGCUCCAAAUUGACCUAUUUGCCUAGCUUAGCUCUAAAAUGACCUACACUUAGCAUUUUUACCUAGCUUGGCUAAAAAAGGGCAUUUUUACCUACCUUAGUUAGAAGAAGAAGAAGAAGAAGAAGAAGAAGAAGAAGAAGAAGAUAAAGAAGAGGAGAGGAGAAAAAGAAAGAGAAGAAAAAUUCUUGUUUUUCUUAUUUUUCUUCUUCUUCUUCUAACUUCCUUCUUUCCCAAUUUGCAGAUUUGCUUUAGAUGAGGAGCUUGCGUUCAUGGAGUCCACUCUUCUCCUUGUGCUUCUUUUAUGUUUUUGGAAAGUUGUUGCAAAAUUGUUGUUGGAUAUGUAUGUAUGGAUGAAACCAUUUUGUGUUGGAUAUGUUGUUGGAUAACUUGUUGUUGGAAACUUGUUAUAUAUAUAUAUAUGUUGUUGGAAACUUGUUGUAUAUAUGCUGUUGGAAACNNNNNNNNNNNNNNNNNNNNNNNNNNNNNNNNNNNNNNNNNNNNNNNNNNNNNNNNNNNNNNNNNNNNNNNNNNNNNNNNNNNNNNNNNNNNNNNNNNNNNNNNNNNNNNNNNNNNNNNNNNNNNNNNNNNNNNNNNNNNNNNNNNNNNNNNNNNNNNNNNNNNNNNNNNNNNNNNNNNNNNNNNNNNNNNNNNNNNNNNNNNNNNNNNNNNNNNNNNNNNNNNNNNNNNNNNNNNNNNNNNNNNNNNNNNNNNNNNNNNNNNNNNNNNNNNNNNNNNNNNNNNNNNNNNNNNNNNNNNNNNNNNNNNNNNNNNNNNNNNNNNNNNNNNNNNNNNNNNNNNNNNNNNNNNNNNNNNCAAGAAAAAAAAUAGGGGUUGUACAAGCUCCUUGUCGUCUGCUGGCAGACGGCAAAGAGCUUUGCCAUCUGCCGGCGGACGGCAAACCUGCCACAUGGCAGCUACCUGUGCAACCUAGGGGCACUAUAGCUGGCCUAUUUGGUUAGUUUGUCGUCUACUGGCAGACAGCAAAGACCUUUGAUUCCUUGCCGUCUGCUGGCAGACGGCAAAGACCUUUGAUUCUUUGCCCUCCGCUGGCAGACGACAAAGAUGAAAAGGUCUUUGUCGUUAGCUGGCAGACGGCAAAGCACGUCGUUAACCCCCUAACGGAACUAACCUGCCACGUGCGCCGUCCAUGCCCUUUGCCGUCUGCCAGCGGACGGCAAAGGCCUCGAGAUCUUUGCCGUCAGCCAGCAGAUGGCAAAGAAGCCUUUGUCGUGGUUCGUUCAGCCGGACUGUUUGUUGUCUGUUGGCUGACGGCAAAGGUCUUUGCCGUACGCUAGUCAUGCCUUUGCCAUCUGCCAUGGCAGACGACAAAGAUCCUGAUUCUUGUAGUGUCCCAUGCAAGACAUACAUCAAGUGUUCUCAAAUCCAUAAUAGUAUUCAAUCUGAUAAUAGUGAAACCUCAAAGGUAAAACUCAAUUCAUCACAAGAAAGUAGAGGGGGGAAACACCAUAUGAUCCAACUAUAGUAACAAAGCUCUCGGUACAUCAAGAUUGUGUCAAAUCAAGAACACAAGAGAGAGAGAGAGAUCAAAUACAUAGCUACUGGUACGUACCCUCAGCCCCGAGGGUGAACUACUCCCUCCUUGUGAUGGAGACCGUCGGGAUGAUGAAGAUGGCCACCGGUGAUGGUUUCCCCCACCGGCAGGGUGCCGGAACGGGCUCCCGAUUGGCUUUUCGUGGCUACAGAGGCUUGCGACGGCAGAACUCUCGAUCUAGCUUUCUUUCUGGGGGGUUUCGUGAUUUAUAGGAAUUUUUGGUGUCGGUCUCACGUCAGGGGGGUCCACAAGGCAGCAGCAAGACAGGGGGCGCACCCUCCACCCUUGUCAUUGCCUCGGGACUCUUCUGGCCCAACUCUUGUGCUUGGUGGACUUCUUCUGGUCCGUAAAAAAUCAUUGUAAAUUUUCAGCUCGUUUGGACUCCGUUUGAUAUUCCUUUUCUGUAAAAACUCAAAAAUAAGAAGAAAACAUAAACUGGCACUAGGCUCUGGGUUAAUAAGUUAGUCCCAAAAAUAAUAUAAAAUAGCAUAUUAAUUCAUAUAAAACAUCCAAAACAGACAAUAUAAUAGCACGAAACAAUCAAAAAUUAUAGAUACGUUGGAGACGUAUCAGCUCUCUCUCUCGCUCUCUCUCUCUCUCUCUUUCUCGUGUUCUUGCCCUCAAACCCGCGGAUUUCUAUCUCUUUGCUCGAAGCUCCGUUUUUGAAACUGUUUUGGGGGAUUGCUAGUUGGUAUGUGACUCCUCCAUUGCUCCAAUUAGUUUUUGUUCUAGUGGUUUAUAUUUUGAGUAUUUAGUUACUCUUGGUGUUGUUGUAAAUGAGCUUGCAUGUUGAGUUCUUUGAGUUCUAAGUAGUUUGAAUGCUUGAUAUAGCUUCUAGACAUCCAUAUGAGUAGUUGUUAUCAUGACAUCAUUUUGUGAACCAAAAAUUUCAGAAAUUUGUUCGCGAACAAAAUGCACGUCUUUAGGAGUUCUUCGAGGAGGAGGUCCUUAGAGGUAUCAUCGAGCAGGAGCUCGAUAUGACAGUCCUAUGUUGAGCCAAGUGCAAGCUCAAUGUGUGACACCGAUACCAAAUCAUGCCUAUGGUCAUGUAACGAAUUCAUGGUAGGUGUAGGCAUCAAGGAAGAAUUUGAGCAGUAUGUUCAGAACACCGAGUUGGCCCCCUUCAUUGCAGAUAAGUGCAUUCAACAUCUCAACCUCACACAGACAUUCACUAAGAAAUUUAAAUAUCAUUCCCGUGAUUCUAGAGUUUCAUUUAGCCUUUAUGAUAAUGCCUUCACCAUGCCUUUAGAAGAGUUUUGUGUUGCAUGCAAAAUUCCAUAUUGGGGUUAGCUGGACGAACCACCAAAAUCUGAGUAUGAAACAUUUUAACUAGUCUAUGUUAUGGUGAGGAUAGGGGAGUGACUCAAGCUAGAAUAAAAAGUAUACAAUUUCCAUCAAUUCGAUACUUUGCACUCUUUAAUUGAAAAUGCAUCAUGGGCAAACAAGAUUGUAGUACCUUGUGUGCCCCAGACUUUAGCCUCAUACACACUGCUUUAACAGGAACUAAACGCUAUACUCUUGGAGCGAUCAUUGCACGGAGGUUGCAACGCAAUGCUGAUAGUGGUCACUUUUAUGGUGGGAUUUAUGCCUCCCAUAUAGCUAAGAAGUUGGGUGUGUCACCUUGGCCUAAUGAUUCUAUCUUACCUACCCAGUACUUAGACUUUGAGGCCAUGCAGCACCAUAAGUUCAUUAAGGCCACAACCACUAAAUAUAAUUACAACUUGAUGUUUAAUAAAAAACCAUUGUACAUGUUAUUUUGCAUGCACCUGCUCUCUUUGAUUGCCAGAAUAUAGGAAGAUACUACAUUUAUGAGAGCGAGGCGCGCCAGUACAACGCGGCAGUCGAGGCUGCUCGACAGGCUGAGGAGGCCGCACCAAGAGCCUCCGUGAGUUAUCACUCUGACUAUUAUCUAGGCCUGGGAUGGUGAUUACCAAGCUAGGACAAAUCCUAAGCUUGGGGGGGUGCGUAUUUCCAUCGACAUUACAUUCAUGUUCACACAUUUCAUUUCAGUUGUCGGUGUUCACACUUUUUAAUUGUAUUAUCCAUGUUAGUUUUGUUUUCUCGCUUCCUUCUUGUGUAUUUGAAAAUUGUUGAGAAAAAACAAAAAUAUUUGUUGCUGAAAGUGCUAGUGAUCGACUAGAGGGGGGGGUGAAUAGGCGAUUUUUAUGAAGGUCUUCAAAACAUGGAAGUUUCGAAGACAAAUGAUAGAAAUAAACCUAUUACCAUGCAGCGGAAGGUAGACUACACUAGGCAAACCAUAGUCAAGUAUUCAAUGAAGUGAAAGCACAAUGACUAAUAGCAGCUAAGCAGUAAAGAUCAGGUAGGAAGAUAUUGUGAAGCCAAUCAGAACAAGCAGUCACUCAGUGAAGACAUAAGAUAAUGCAAUCAUACAAUGACUUCACAAGGACCUACAGUAAGUAAAGGGAAGGGAAGGAUGAAACCAGUGACUCGUUGAAGACAAUGAUUUGUUGGACCAAUUCCAGUUGUUGUGACAACUGUACGUCUGGUUAGGGAGGCUGAGAUUCAACUCAGAAGACCUCGUCUUCACCUUAUUCCCCUUGAGCUAAGGACACCCAGUCCUCGCCCAAUCACUCUGGUAAGUCUUCAAGGUAGACUUCCAAACCUUCACAGACUUCGUUCACCGGCGAUCCACAAUGACUUUUGGAUGCUCAGAAUGCGACGCCUAACCGGCUGGAGGAUUCACAGUCCUCAAGUGUAAUAAGUCUUUAGAUCACACAGACAGGAAGACUUAAGUGAUGCCUAACACUCUUUGGCUCUGGGUGUUUAGGGUUUUGUCCUCGCAAGGAAUUCUCUCUCAAAGGCUUCGAGGUGGGUUGCUCUCAAACGACAAAAGCCGUACUCUAACUCUGAGCAGCCAAGCGUUUAUGGUUGUAGGGGGUGGGCUAUUUAUAGCCACUAGGCAACCCGACCUGAUUUGUCUGAAAUUACCCUGGGUCACUAAGGAACUGACACGUGUUCCAAUGGUCAGAUUUCAAACACACACGGCAACUUUACUUGGGCUACAAGCAAGGCUGACUUAUCCAACUCUGGACAAGAUUUGCUCUCAUAGUCUUCACUCGAAGACAUUGGAUUUUGGUUAAGCAUCACAUCAGUCAUUCUGACUGGUUCUCUUGGACCCCACUUAACAGUACGGUGGUUCCUAUGACUCAACAAAGAAGAAAAAGAACGACGAAAGAACUAAGUCUUCGCGCUCCAUAGUCUUCAUGCGAUGUCUUCUCUUGUCAUAGUCUUCAAUGUGAAUGUCUUCACAUACCACCUUUGACUUCAAUGUCUUCUUACAUUUUUAGGGGCCAUCUCUGGUAGGAAAACCGAAUCAAUGAGGGACUUCUACCUGUGUUAUCCUGCAAUUCUCACAAACACAUUAGUCCCUCAACUAGGUUUGUCGUCAAUACUCCAAAACCAACUAGGGGUGGCACUAGAUGCACUUACAAUUGCUUCUUUUCAGUUUUAUUUCUAUUUUAGUUUAAUUGUAGUAUUAAAAGAAAACCCCAAAAGAUUUCCCAUUUCUUCCUUUGUUUGUUGGGAGCUCUCCCGUGUAAAUAGUUUUUCUCGUUUUCGUUUUUCUUUCUUUAAGUUGCUUUCUUUAAAAAAAUAUCAAAUCAAAAACUCCAAAAAUAUUUUAGUGUGUUUCUCUAAAAUUCUUUUCUUUUGUUGAGUCGUACUAAUUAAGAAGAAGAGCACGAUGAAAAUGUUGAGUGGCUCUCAUAUGCAUUAUUGUUGAUCUAACAAAUAGCCCAUAUUACUUUGUCUUCUCUUAUGAAUAAAAUGUUUGCAGAUUCCAGCUACUCCACGGCACUCUUGCACUGUCAUUAUUUUCAUAUCAUUUGGUCGUGCAAGUGAAAGGCAAUAAUGACGAUAUUUGUUCUGUCAAAAGAAUAAUGACGAUAUUUGAUGAAGUGGAUGUGGUAGGGAAAAGCGGGUAUGAACUCAACUUGUUUUUGUUGUUGUAAAUAUGUUUAACUCAUUAUCCAUGAUUCCGCAUAUUAUGACCGCACAUGUUUGCAAUGAAAAUUAGAUAUUAUAGGUUUUCAUGCCAUGCUUAAGUAGCUAGGAGUGGAUAAUGAUUUAUCUUAGGUGUCAACAUGCAUUAAAAUGAUUGUGGUGUAGUAUGAUGAUAUGGUAUCCUCCUCUGGAUGUUUCAAGUGGCUUGACUUGGCACAUGUUCGCACAUGUAGUUGAUUCAAAACCAACAUAGCCUCCACGUAUGUUCAUGGUGUCUAUAUCCUACUCAUGCUAGUAUUCAAUCUUAAUUGUUCAUAAUGCAUGCUCAUGACCGUUUUCGCUCUCUAGUUGGUCGCUUCUCAACCUAUUUGCUAGCCUUCACCUGUACUAAGUGGGAAUAUUGCUUGUCCAUCAAAAUCCUUAAACCAAAGUCAUUCCAGAUGAGUCCACUAUAUCUACCUAUAUGCGGUAUUACCCUGCCGUUCCAAGUAAAUUCGCAUGUGGCACCUCUAAAAAAUCAAAUGAACAUAUGUUUUGUGUGCCUGGACCGCUCAUGGAUUAGUAUCUCCCAUGCUAAGUGGGUUAUUCCCAUGAUGAGUGUUUAUUCACUUGUCCUUGCAUGAGAGGGGCUGGUAAUCGGGAUGCCCAGUCCCAUGUUCAAAUAUUGCAAAUAAUUAAACAAAACUCCCCUGGGACUGUUGUUGGUAUGGAAGGCAUCCAUGGAUUCGGCUAGCCAUGACUUGUGUUUGUUGAUGGAGGGGGGGUAAACUCGAAUUUUAUCGCUUGGAACCGCCGCUACUUUGUUUAGCAUGGAAGAUAUUGAAAACUCUUGAUCGUAACAUUGAUAGGAAGGGUAUACCUACCAGAAUUAUAUUUAUCUCUGAUUUAAGCUUUCAGCUCUAGCACCGUUGCAAAUCCCUGCUUUCCUCUACGAAGGGACUGUCUAUUUACUUUUAUGUUACUUUACGUUUAUGUUGAGUGAUCACCUUCUCAAACAAGCUCCAAUCCUGAGAGCACUAUUAUCAUCCUCAUGCAUUGUAUAUAGUUAAUGUUGAAUGCAUCGUGACUGGAUCUCUUUUACCAUGAAUUACAAUGUUUAGUCGUUGCUUAAAAUUUGGGGGUGUUCUGCAUUUAUGUUUUGCGCUCUCAGAAAGGGCUAGCGAGAUACCACUAUUGUCAUACUAUAUCAUGAUUUUUUUUGACAAAGUGUUGGCAUUUGAGAUAUCUUAUUAUUGCUCGCUAGUUGAUUAUGCCAUUGAUAUGAGUUAAUAUAAUUUCUAAGAGUUAUUGUUUGCAUGGUUAGUCAUGGUCUUUGCUGAAAACCUGGGUGCUAUUUAAGCAUAUAUAUGACACAAGAACAAAAGAGUUUGUAAAAGUUUUUCCUUAUCACUUUUAGUUUAUCAACUGAAUUGCUUGAGGACAAGCAAUGGGUUAAGCUUGGGGGAGUUGAUACGUCUCCAUCGUAUCUACUUUUCCUAACGCUUUUCCUCUUGUUUUGGACUCUAAUUUGCAUGAUUUGAAUGAAACUAACUCGGACUGACGUUGUUUUCAACAGAACUACCAGGGUGUUGUUUUUGGGCAGAAAUAAAGGUUCUCAGAAUUGGACGAAACUUUUUGGAGAAUUAUUUUGGAAUAAAUAAAAAUACCGGAACCAAGACCCACUGGAGGGGGGCCCAUCUGCCCACUAGGAAUCAGGGUGCGCCACCCCCCUCUAGCGCGCCCUGGUGGGUAGUGGGGCCCAUGAGGCUCCGCUGACCCUAAUUCCAAUUCUAUAAAUUCCUAUUUUUGGUGAAAAAAAUAAGAGAGGAAGUUUCAUCACGUUUUACGAUACGAAGAUGCCGCAACUCCUGUUCUUCAUUGGGAGGCCAGAUCUGGAGCCCGUUUGGGGAUCCGGAGAGGGGGAUCUUCGGUCUUCGUCAUCACCAACCAUCCUCCAUCACCAAUUUCACGAUGCUCACCGUCGGGAAUGAGUAAUUCCUUCGUAAGCUUGCUGGACGGUGGUGGGUUGUAUAAGAUUCAUCAUGUAAUUGAGUUAGUUUUGUUACGGCUUGAUCCCUAGUAUCCACUAUGUUCUGAGAUUCAUGUUGCUAUGACUUUGCUAUGCUUAAUGCUUGUAAAUAGGGCCCUAGUGACAUGAUUUCAGAUCUGAACCAUUUAUGUUAUCACCAUUAUAUCUAUGUUCUUGAUCCGAUCUUGCAAGUCAUAUGCACCUAUUACGUUUUGUGAUCCGUAAACCCCAAGGUGAAAAUAAUUGGGAUACUUCCCGCUGAUUAUCGUAGUUUGAGGAGUUCAUGUAUUCACUAUGUGCUAAUGCUUUGUGCCGGUUCUCUAUUAAAAGGAGGCCUUAAUAUCCCUUAGUUUCCUUAUGGACCUCACUGCCACGGGAGGGUAGGACAAAAGAUGGCAUGCAAGUUCUUUUCCAUUGAGUGUAGAAACAAAGCCUAAUUGAGAUAUAAAGUCGACUGGAUCAGUCAUGAAGCUUGUAUCAAUGUUACCCUUUACAAUGAGCUCUUCAACAUCUCCAUACAUUAUGAAUAUUUCCUAAGUCCUAUUAAGAUACCUUAACUGAUAUCCAAUAAUCCAUUCCCGAAUCACUCUAGUACCUACUCGUAACAAUAAGAGCAUAGGGACAUCCGGAUUUGUACAUAUCAUAGCAUACAUGAUAGAUCCGAUUGCGGAAGCAUAUGGAAUGUUCUACGUCUAUACUCACGCAUCAGUCGUCUGAGGACACUGACUCUUGCUUAACAUUGUGCCAUGUGACAUCACAAGAACCCUUUCAUUGUGUUUUUCAUAUCAAACAUCUUUGUACUUUGUCAAUGUAUGUGCUUUGACUCAACCAUGUUAGCAAAUUAUAUAUCGCUGUAGAUUUUUGUGCCCAACAUGUACGCUAUUUCACUUAAGUGCUUCAUCAAACAAAUAUUUUUCAAUGAAUCGGUUAUCGUGUUACAGUUUGUUGCUUAGGUCUCAAUCAACAAUAUGUCAUCGAUAUAAAGUAUUAGAAAUGCUAUUGUGGUCCCACUUACUUUCUUGUAAACACAAGUCCCUUCAGCAUUAUUGCUGAAGCCAAACCCUUUGACCACUUCACCAAAAUGAAGAUUCCUAUUCCUUGAUGCUUGCAUUAGCCCAUAGAUGAAUCUCUGAAGUUUCCACACCUUUCAGCAUCAUUAGGAUUAACAAAACACUCGGGUUGUAUCACAUGUGUACAUCCUCGGUUAAAUUUUCAUAGAGAAAAUCCAUUUUAACGUCCAUCUACCAUAUCUCGUAGUCAAAAUAUGCAGCAAUUGCUAGAAUUAUCUGAAUGGACUUAAGCAUUGCUACAGAUGAGAAGUUCUCGUCAUAGUCAACCACUUGUGUGUUGAAAAUCCUUCAUGACAAGCCGAGCUUUAUGGAUGAAAAUAUUUCAUCCGCAUUUGUUUUCCUCUUAUAGAUCCAUUUAAAUUAUAUAGGUCUAACACCUUCCGAAGGGUAUUCCACAUUCCUAACUUGAUUAGUGUAUAUGGAGUCUAUCUCAGAUUUCAUGGUUUCGAGCCAUUUCCUAGAGUCAGGGCCCACCAUUGCAUCUUUUGUAAUUUGUAGGUUCAUCAUUGUCUAACAAGAAAACUUCAUCGUCAAACCUCUGUAGCAGAGAACGAAUCCUUCAUGUUAUGUGUGGUUCAGCUACAAUCUCGACCAAAGUUUCUACAUCACAUGUAGAAGCUUCCGUUUCAGUCAUAGGGGUGCUCUCAAGAACAUCUUCAUGUGUUUCGGUCCUUUGAUCUGAAACCAACAAUUCCUAAAUUGUAUCGAGUUGUAUUGUCCCCCCACUCACCUCUUCCGCAAGAAAUUCUUUCUCGGGAAAUACUAUGUUUUUUGCGACAAACAAUUUGCCUUGGUUUUGAUGAUCAAAUUAAUACGUAACGACAUAUUCGGGGUAUUCGACAAGGUAACAUUUCUUUGAUUUAGAGUCAAGCUUAUUCAGUUGUAAACGUUUUACAUACGUGUCGCAUCCCCAAAUUUCAAAAGAUUUUGGUGACAAACUAUUCAGUGUAAAAGCAACGGUUUAUAAAGUAUAAGCCCAAAAAGAUAACGAUGGUUCAUAUAAUGUCAUCAUCGAUUUUACCAUGUUAACAAGGUUCUAUUAUGUCUCUCAGACACUCAGUUUCUCUAUGACAUUCUGGGUGACGUAAGUUGUGAAACAAUUCAAUGGAUCUUCAAAUGUUCGCUAAACAUGUAACUCAAAUAUUCUCAUCCGAGAUUUGGUCCCAAAAACAUGAUGUUCUUGUUACGAUGAUUUUCUACUUCGUCCUAGAAUUAUUUAAACUAUUCAAAAGUUUUAGACUUAGGUCUCAUGAAGUAAAUAUAACCAUAUCUACUUAAAUCAUCAAUGAAAGAUACAAAGUAAAGAAAUCCGCGGAGCGUCGCUACACUCAUUAGACCGCAUACAUAUGUAUGUAUGACUCCAACAAGUCACUCGGACGUUCCAUUUGUCAUGUGAGCAACGAUUUCAUCAUUUUUCCAUCAGACAAGACACAGUUUUUAAAUCAUUCAUAAUCAAAUCCCUCAAAAGUCCAAACUUAUGGAGUUUCUUCAUGUGUUUCUUUCCAAUAUGACCUAGAUGAUAGUUGCACAAUAAUGUGGUAUUUGUUUUACCAGUCAUCUUAAGACGUUUAAUAUCAAUGUUAAAGAUAUGAGUAUCAACAUUGAGAUUCAAAAUAAACAACCCGUUCACAAUAAGUGCACAACCAUAAAAUAUAUUAUUCAUAUAAAUCAAACAAUUAUUUUCUAACUUAAAUGAAUAACCCUCUCGCAAUAAACAUGAUCCUGAUAUAAUGUUCUUGCAAAGGCUAGAUAUCCUAAUGGUAUAUGUAGAGGUAGAACGUUGACAGCUUUCACAAAACUCUUACUCUAUUCCCGACAUACAUUUGCACCUCAUUCUUUGCUAGUCUUCAAGGCCUUCAUAAUUCCUGCAUGCAUUUGCAAAAUGUGAGCAACCAAUCUGGUACUCUCUAAUACCAAAAAGAUAUUAGAUGAGGACUAGAAAGAACAACAUCAAUCAUACAUGAGCUUGACUUUCCAGUCUUCUUCUUCUCUGCCAGAUACUUCUUGUAGUUUCUCUUUUAGUGACCCUUUUGCACAAAAGGAGCACUAAAUAUAUGAAGGGGUGCACCUUUAGGGUUCCCAUCUAUGUAAGUCUUACCGGCACCCUUGGACUUGCCCUUCUUCUUGGUAUUGCCCUUCUCAAACUGACAUUUUGUUCAUCAUCAUCACAUGAUUGGUGUUCUUUUGUAUUACACAUUUUGCAACCUUGCGCAUGUUGAAAAAAUCAUUUACGCUGUUGUCCAACCCAUUCACAUUAUAGUUCAUGAUAAAGCCAUUAUAUCUAGGAGGGAGAGACGCGAGGACAAGACCAGUGCGCAAAGAAGCGAGGUCAGAAAUCCUAAAGAUUCCAACCCCUUUGCACAUACCCUGCUAACUUGAGUAGGUGUUGGCUCACUGAACUUCCCUCUGCCAUCUUGCAUCAAACAUGGACUUAAAGACCUCAUAUCUCUCAGCCCAUGCUUGUUGGUGAAACAAAACUUCCAUCUCCACUUUCAUCUCAUAAGCACCAUAGUUUUCAAAAAGUUUCUGAAGUUUUGGCUCCAUGGAUGCAAGUAUGAUACAUUGUAAUGCUACAUAAUCGUCACUUUUUGAUUGAUAGAUAUUUCUUUCAUUCUCAGUGGCGUUGUCACCUGGGGUGUCAACGAGAGCUUUUUGUAGAACAUAUUCUUUAUUAACACUCUUGAGGACAAUCUUUAGAUUACGAAACUGAACCAUAAAGUUACUGCUAAAUGCAGACAGCUGUUCUUUCUCAAGCAUUCGUGCUAAGUUGAAGGUGGUGUUGUGUGUCAUUUACUCUACAACAAAAUAUGCAAAUUCACUGAGACAUUGUCUAUAAUUAAUGCAACUCAAUUUAACAAUUUUAACUAUAAUAUGCUUCCACUAAAAUCAAUAUUGUCUACUAUUAAAGGAGAUUUUGUACGUUCACUUCCUCACUUCUAGUUAUGAUCGUCCUCCCCACCUCCUUGUACCACUAAUUUUUCGUUUUUUCCAAGUUCCCCAUGUUCUUUUUUGCACUAAAAAAUAGCAUGCUAUAGCAUGUAGAGAAUUGUCUCGUUAAAUAAAUCGGUGUACAGUGUCUCGCUAAUAACAUGCUAUAGCAUGCUAAUAGCAUAAUUUAAGGGGUGGUGCUAUUUUGUAUAGUGUUGGUUUUUUCUUUUUUGCCUCUUGUCCCAGUUCUUCUCCCGGUCCGCACAAUUUUCUACACCUCCACAUCUCCCAUCCCACCGAUGGCCUCCACCACUUCCUCAUUCCUAACCCCUCUUCGUUGCUCAGCAUUACCAUGCCACUCCCCCAGGUUGUCUCAUCUCACUGCGCCCACUACAUCUUUCGUCCAAGAUCAUUCAACUGAUGUCCCCCUCUAUUCUCUCCUAUCAUACUACCGUUGUUCUCUCCUCCCCAGCACCUCCCCAUCAUGAGUGUGUCACACAGGCGCUGCGAGGUCCAGUGGGCGGCGACGACGAAUAAGAUGGCAUGGUGGCUCUGUGACGGUGGUGCGGCCUCUGUCGUGCGCUCGACCUCACUCAUGCACCCCCUGCCAAGGCUUGAUCUCCCAUCAUUCCUCCCCAACCAUCUCACCCACCUCCCUACCCACAUCAUCAUGCUCUCCAACGGUGUCCGCGUCACCUCCAAGGAUGUCCCGGUAUUACCUCACCUUCCGCCAUCCUCCUUCUGAUGAUAGGUUUAUAGCAUCGUAUGAUGCGACAUUGUCGAUCUCCGAUGACGCUCCGUGUGGUGGAUUUCCAAAUUUGUCAUUAUGCGUGUGGCGUCAGGCUCGAUCAACUAGUCGACUGAAUCCGUCGGCGUGACGCACCUGCUAGAGAAGUUGGCCUUCAAUGACACGAUGCACCAGAUCCACUUGCAGAUCUUGUAGGAGGUGGAGGCCAGGGCAACGUCGUCCACGCGUUGGCAUCCAAGGAGCAGAUGGUGUAUAGCUAUUGUUAGCAUGGAAUAGAGGGAUUGGUGGAAUUUUUGUUUAUUGCUUGAUCCUCAUGGACAUAUAUAUAGGAGUACAAGACAAGGCAGGACCAAAUCCUAGUCGAUCCUAUACUUCCUAAUAAUCAUAAUACUCAACAUCUCCCAUAGUCAUAACGGUAGCGACGCAGACGGUGAGACUAGAGAAAAUCAGAAGGCAAGCCAACAGACCCCCCCCCCCCACACACACACACACACAUACACACAAACACAGUUGUAACGGUCGAUGUGUCACAGAAAUCGUGGUUAGAGUGGAAACCUAUGAGUUUGCUCAAGCAAGGCAGUAACCCUUUGUGUUGCAGUCAUGGUCGAGGUAGCCGUGUGAAGAAUGUCGUGGUCGAUGUCGAUAUGGGGUGGCCAGUGUCGAGGAAGUCAUUGUGGAGCCGUGGACACACGGAGGCACCGAGUUAGUCAUGGGUGCAGUGGUGUCAAAGUAGUGGUGCACCGGAAAGAAGACGCUGUUGACGAGGCAUCGCACCGGUUUGCCAAACCUGGGGAUACGUUGUAAACAAAUGCACGCAUUGGUGUUGCCAGCACUGGGCAUGCAUAGACGGACGAAGACGAAGUUGAUGAAGUGUCGCACCAGGCUUGCCAGGUCCGGGGACACGUCGUGGAUGAAGACACACAUCGGUGUUGUCAAUACUGGGCAUGCGUAGAUGAGGGACCUGCACGAGUUGUACCCCAUGUCAAGGAGUUGUAGGGGCUAGCAGAGAAGAAGACUCGGCGAUGGUUCUGGCGCCAAUUGGCGUGGGGCCGAUGUCACUGACGGUGCUCGGAGUAGACUAAGUUGUCGGGGAAGAUGACAGCAACGCUGGCGACAAGCUGGUGUUGGACGAAGACGAAGGGGGUGGACGGGCGGUGGCUACGGGGGUAGCAACGGCGGUGGCCGAAGAAGAGCAGCAACGACGGCCUAAUGGCGGCAGUGGCGGCGAGGUUAGGAGCGCGGCGGCGGUGCUCGAAGUAGGCGAGGAACCCAACAACAUGACGAAGACCAACACAGACGGUGGCAUUCCCGCGCCAAGGGAGGCGGCACGGCGCAUACCAUGGGAAGUCGACGUGCGGGGAAGGCGGAGUGGACCGUGGGCCAUGGCGCUACGGCCCGAAAGGGCGACGCAGCAGCGGGAAGACCUCAGAGUUGCGGCGUGUACCGCAUGCCAUGGCGCUACGGCCCGAAGGGUGGCGCAGCGGCGGCGCGCGGGUCGGUGCAGCCACGGGAACGGCCUCGGGUGUAGGCGGGGACCACGUGCCACGGUGCUACAACCCAAAGGGGCGAUGCAGCAGUGACGCGCAAGUCAUGCUACCGCAGGGAGAACCACGGGGCAGCGACACUACGGCCCGAUGUGGCAAUUAUCCCAAGAACAUGAUAGCUCUUAGUUUUGCAUUCCCCAUGAACAUGGCUUGCUGCUUGGAAGCUCCCAUUUACAUACUUUUUGGUAGAAUGGUCAUUUACAUAGAGUGAACACAUCUCAAAAGCAUUACAUGAUAUCAGUUUGCUUUUUAUACUUUUGUCGUUUUCUUUUGUAUAUACUUUCACUUUUCCAUUGACUAGUAAUAAUAUACGUGCAAUGCACGUUUAUAUUAAGUAGGAUACUGGUUGCACGUUAUAUUAGGUAAGAUAUCUCUGUUGCAUGUUGCUAUUUGGUAAGAUAUCAAUUACUUUUUCGCGGGAACGGUAAGAUAUUAGUUACAUGGAAAAUUUCAAGGGAUAGUGUUGAGUCAAAACGUGUUUAUAACCAAUAGCAGUGGUGGAUAAUUAGAGUGUUAAACAUAUUUGGUGCUCAACAUUGGAAUGAUUUGAAUCGCUAGAUAACAUGAUUUGACAGUCGAGAUGAUUUGGAUCUGCCCAUUUGGGUCUUUUUAUAUUGGUAUAGAUAUAGAUGUAAGCUCGGCAGAUUCUAGAUAUUAACAGUUUGACAUUAUAAUACUCUGUUGAUCGGCGCUAAAGUAAUUCUAUUAAAUGCAUAAUAUAUGGUGCCAACCACAAUAAGAGAUGUUAUUGUAAUCAGCAUGUUCUAAUUUUACAACUUUAUUUUCAAACUAUGGACCAUUCUUGUUUGCAGGAAAAUGCUGCAACAAUUUCAUGCAAUGUUGUUCUCACCAUAUGGUUGUUCUGAUAUUCUCUACAAUUCAAUGAAUAUGUUUUAAUCAAAAAAGCGUGAAGAGUUGCAAUUUCAAAAAAAAUAUUGCAAAAAUAUUUUUUUAAUUUUUUAAUGAAUUUUAACUUGUGAAUAUUUUGAAUGUUCUUUUGAAUAGUUUUAAAACUUGAGAAUGUUUUCUUGAAAUCUUGCCCUUUUUCAAUAAUCAUGAACAUAAUUUGAAUUAGAUCCUUCAAAUAAUUUUGGAUCAUUUUAUGAUUAUUUUAUAAACCUUUUUAAACCUGCAGUUUUUUCUAGAAAAAACAAAAAAAAUGCGGUAAAAAAAAGGGCAGCCCCAGUGCAUGUAGCUCCCGCUUGCGCAGGGUCUGGGGAAGGGUCCGACCACUUUGGGUCUAUUGUACGCAGCCUUUCCCUACAUUUCUGCAAGAGGCUGUUUCCAGGACUUGAACCCGUGACCUCAUGGUCACAAGGCAGCAGCUUUACCACUGCGCCAAGGCUCCCCUUCAAAGACCAAAGGAAUUGGAAAACCGAAAAAGACCAAAGGAAAGAGAAAACGUCAAGGUGAAAGCGAGGACUCCACCCAUUACGGAAAUAGAGCGGCCAAACACGCCGAAAUCACUAAUUAAAGAGUACUCGUUGCAAAAAAACACUCCAUUUUCCCAGGUCGCGACAAGUGGCGCACAUGUUGGGACUCUCACUCUACGGGUUUUUUCGUUUCCGAAAGGCACGGCCUUGACUCUCACUAUGCGCUGAUUGUUGCGAAGCUCUCGAAGGAGCGCUCGUUAACUAGUUGCUCUCCAAACACGCAGCCUUGUUGUGCGAUGGGUCUCCAUUAUGACUCAAAGUGUGUCAAUAUAUGCUCGAGUAGCGAGAAUAGCUCCCGUCUCGGUGGGCCACCCCUAUUACUCGCGUUACGCGAGAGGAUGGAAGCCUCGCCUUUGGCCGCCCAGCCGCACGGGAGACCACGGCCUGUUUUUUUUCCUAAAAAAACUAUGUUAUAUGUUCUUGUUUUUUGAUUUGUUUUUUACUUUUCUUUACACUUUAAAAUAUUAUACAUAUACAUAUCUAUAUAUUACAAAAGACACUCUUCAAAACAUAUUUGAAAAUAAUGUUAAACAAGUGUUUAAAAAAUGUUGAAUAAGUAUUAGAAAAUGUUGAGCAAGUAUUUGAAAAAUGUUUAAAAAAACUAUUUGAAAAUGUUGAAUAAAUAUUAAAAAUGCUGGACAAAUGAAAAAUAUUGAAUAAGUAUUAAAAAAUUGAACAAGUAUAUGAAGAUGUUAAACAAGUAUUUGAAAAAUGUUUAAUAAGUAUUGGAAAUGCUGAAAAAUAUUUGAAAUUUUUUGUAAUAAAAGUACUAAAAAAAUGAACAAAUAUUUGAAAAAUGUUGAACAAAUAAUUGAAAAUCUUGAAUAAGUAUUAAAAUGUUGAUUGAGUAUUUGGAAUAAUGUUGGAUAAGUAUUAAAAAAAUGUUGAAAGAGUAUUUAAAGAAUGUUGAACAAGUAUCCGAAAAUGUUGAAUAAGUAUUUGAAAAUGUUCAUCAGUAUUUAAAAAAGUUGCAAAUAUUUUAAAAAUGCUGAAUAAGCGUUCGGACAAUGAAAAAAAUGAAGAAUCAAAAGCAAAAAAAAAGGAGAAGAAGAAAGAAAACAAAAACAAAAAAAGGAGAAAACCAGCACGUCUUUCUUCGAGUGGAUAGCGCCCUUACUAUUAUCAGUUAUCACGGCGCAGUGGCUAGUCACGCUUAGGGAUCAUCCCUGGUACUUCCCUUUUUUAAAAAGAAAACAUUCUGCGUGAAAUGGGCCAGCCGAGUAACAACCAGAGCAGGAAAACUCGAUGCGAGACUUAAUCUGUAGCAUUGCAUCUCCAUCUCCACUGCUAUUAAACAAUCAAACAAGAAUUUUCUUACGUGCACCCCAUAAAACGUACACGGAUUCAUCAUGACCGCAUGAUUAAGCCCACUAGACUUAAUCUAACGGCUAACCUUAAUCUAAUUUAUUCUCUGUGUGCACUUAACAAUUUACAUUGACUGACCGUGCUUCACCAUAUGAAACUUCACGUCCGAUCAAUUAGAAAACUAUAAUCAUGAUUGCGUCUUCUUAGGAAACUAAUCUCAUCGCAUCUUCUUAGGAAACUAAUCACGAUUGUGUUUUAUUAGGAAACUAAUUAUGAUCGCGUUUUAUUAGGAAACUGACCACGAUCGUAUUUUAUUAGGAAACUAAUUGGGUAUUCGCACACAUUGACACGUCCAUCACCUCGACCUCCUGGAUCACGAUCCUAUCUCUCCCAAGAAAAACCACCACAAUCGGCCUCCACUUGGCAUGGCGACAAGGAGCCGAGGACCAACAACUCUUUCUCAGGGGACGCCGUCGGAGUGCCGGUAAUUCUUGAACCGCCGAGGGUGCCGCACCGGUUGCCCCUUCUCAGGGGAUGCCGCUGGAGUGCCAGUAAUUUAUGUUGCUUGUAAGACAACUGCCCAGCCAGCAUUUAUGGUUUCUUGCGAACUUACACGGCGUGCCUGUGCUGACUUGUGUACUUCAAAAUAAGGUUUCUAUGCAUUACUAACCAGAGUGUGCUAUCUUUAUAUCUUCGGUGUUUCUUAGCAAAUGUCGUUUACAUGUGUCAUCAACACAUUAUUUGUUUUUUCUUAAUUUGUAACACUUGUACUGCUGGAGUUGGUUUAUUUUAAGUUGUUACAUUUGGAACUCCUUUCACUUCAUAACGGGGCUGGAUGGUCUAAACUGCAAGAUGUGAUUUUUUUUCUCACAUGAACCAUCUAUAAAUAAAUAUAUUUUUUACUAUUCUUCUACGUAUAAAUACUUUGUGGUCCUUUCGCUGUUCAUUCGGUUAAUGGUUAGGAACUAAUGACCAUCAAAUUAUUUUUAUUGUUUGAUAGUAUUACACACAAGUGGGUGUAAACAAAAACUAUCAAAAAUGGUCAUGACUUGCAUUUUUUUCUUAUUUUCUACAACUGGUGCUUCUCCAUAUGUCCCCAUUGUGUUCCGGGAUGUUAUUUUGUACUAUUGUUUUCCUAUGUCUACCCUUGUAUUUAUUCAGUGCAUUGUUCUUUUCGCAUUUUGGCAUGAAAGCUUGCUGGCUUGGAGGAGGAUGAACACAGAUGAAAGAGGGGAAACAUUGUAGAAUUGUGUAUGUUGCUUGCCAAGUUUAGCUUUGGAUUUUUAGUGCUUUGACACUUUGUGCAGAAUGAACUAAACAUUUACAUGUCAAGAGCAUCUUGAUGCAUAUAAAGAGUAAACGGAGGCAUGAAAUAACGAGUUGUAUGGGUUGAUUUAUACUCUCCAGUUUUAUAUAUGUUUGUGUGUGUAUCAGACAUGAACAUUCAUCGUUUCAUGCGUUGUCAAGCUUUCCUAUACGCCACGAGACACAAAGCAACCUUUUAUCUACCACAUGUUGGCAUCUACUUGAAAUUUAACCAGUAAUUAUACGUGCGUUGCACGUGCACACUUACUAGUAACGCAACAAAUAGUUCGUCCUCUAUUAUUUCUGGGUCGGACCGUUUACAAUUCUUUUUCAUUCGCUCUUUCUCACUCGCUAGAUCGGUCGUGUGUCGUUCACUGGUUCUCGCCCGGUUUUCUUCUCUCUUCUGUUAAACUCUCUUUGUUACUCAAGGACUUCUUCGGGUUCUUUUCUUUUUCUUUAUAUUUUCAUUGGUUUCUCGGUUUUCACAUGUAUUUUUCUAUUCUUUCUAUUAUGAUUUAUUUGGUUCAUUGUUUUCUUCUCAGUUAUCACUGUUUUUUUCUUUUAAUUUUUUAAAAUGCUUUUUAGUUUUCCCUUUUUGGUUUUAUUUUGUUUCUUUUUCCUUUUUUCUUUCAUUUUGCACUUGUUUCAUCAGUUUUAUUGUUUUUCCCUUUUGUUUCUUUUUAGGGUUCUAUUGCUUUUUUAAUUCUUCUUUGUUUCUAUUUGUUUUCAUUCUAAAAGUUUCAUGUAUGUCAAGAACAUUUUUCUAAUACAUGUUUAAUAUAUUUCAACAACAAUUUCAAUAUUUUCUUAAUACAUGAUCAACAUUUUUCUAUACAUAUUUUUCAAAUGCUUGAUUAAUAUAUUUUUAAUACAAGGACUACAUUUUUUAUACACAUUUUAACAUUUUCAAAUGUUUGAUUAACAUCUUUCAAAUACAAGAUUGAGAUUCAUACAUGGUCAAAAAAAUAGAUAUGUAAUGUUUUUUAAAUAAAUGAUUAACAUUUUUCAAAUACAAGUUAAAAAAUUCAAAUAUCUGAUCAGUAUUUUUUUCUAAAUACAUGAUCAAUUUUUCACACACAUUGUAUAUUUUGUAUAUAUUUUUUCAUAUGCAUGAAAAUAUUUUCCUCAUAGACGUUUAUCAUUUUCAGAUUAUUUUUUAACAGUUUUUUAAUACAUGGUCAACAUUUGUAUACAUACUUUUCAAAUGCUUGAUUAUAAAUUUCAUAUACAUGAUUAACAUGAUUGUAAUACACUGUUAAUAUUUAUAUACAUCUUUUAGCAUUAUUAAAUGCCUGAUUAACAUUUUUCAAAUACAAAAUUGACAUUUAUUGAAUACACGAUCAACAAUUUGUUUAUCAUAUUCAUCAGUGUUCAAAAGAUUGAUUAACAUUUUCGUAAUACUUGUUUAGAAUUUUCAUAUACAUUUUUCUUACAUGUGAGAAACAUUUUAUUUAUAGAUAUUUAACCUUUUUUAAAUACUUGAUUAACAUUUUUGCAAAUAUUUUAUGAGAUUUAUUAUUAAUAUUUGUAUAUAGAAUAUUUGUAGGUAUAAACUAAAAAAAUAAGACAAAAACUUUAAACAAAAAGAGGCUAUGGCCUCCCAGCGCCUGGCCGGUCCACUAGGAAGAAUCUUGGCACGAGAGCACACUAGAUCUCGCUGCAAGCAAGACAUAGCCCUGCCCAGCUAGAAAAGGCGAAGAAAGGCCAAGGGCAGCGCACUCAUGGUCAGUCCAUUUCUUUGUCGAGGUUUUUUCAGGCUCAGCUAUGGUUUUUUUUGGUGUUUCCUUUUCCUGUUUGUUUCUUAAUUUUGGUUUUUAUUUUUCUUCUUAUAGUAUUUUUUUCCUUUGUAAAAAAGUGUAGAAUUUUAAUACUUUUUCAGGAAUCUAAAAAAAUGUUCGUACUUCCAAGAAUGAUCAGGAUUUCGAAAUUUAUUCAUAUAUCAAUAUAUGGUUGAAUUUUCCAUGAAUUUCGAGAUUUGAAAAAUCUGAAAUUUCAAAUAUUUUUUGGAAUUGCAAAUUUGUUCAUAUUAUUUAGAAUAAAUAUCGGAAUUUUUUUUAAAAAGUCGGAAAUAAGAAAAAGGUGGCAUUUACAAAAAAUGUGUGGGGUUGCUAAAAUUCAUUAGAAAUUGAAAAUUUUGUUUUGAACUUUCAAAAAAUGUGUAAAUUCAAUAUUUUUCAAGGUUUUCAAAAUAUGUGCUCAAUUUUUCAAAACAUGCUCAUGUGUUGAUAUAAAAUCCUACUUGAAAAAACUGAUUGCUACAGCAGAGUGAUUCCCUACAUUGCCUAUGGGCCGAGCUCAGUUGGCUGCUCUGUGUGCGUCGCGGUCCCUAAUGACGCAAAAUGCGUCAUAUAGGAGGUCCAAAAUAUGUGUUCCCUCGCCUCCUGAAAACAUGUGUUUCUCAUGAAGGAAAAUGUGUUUCUCGACCAGGUUUUUUCUUACGAACCGCAUUCUUAUUGUGUUCAUAGGCCUUAGAAAUUUGGCCCCUAAUAGCCGGGCUAGAAAGGGGUUUGAAACAAUGCAGGUCUACUUUUUUGUCAUGACAAACAUCGAAAUCACUAAUUAGGUACACCUCUUAUUCAAGUUUUGUUGCGCCAAACUGGAGGGAAAAUGCGCAGUGCGCAUAUUCAAGGGGCGGCCCACUCCCAUUGCAUGUAACGAGCCGGUAGUGAGCUGUUUUUCUUGCGAUGCACUGUACCAAACGACAUGGUAGCGAUCAGCUACUAUAGCAGCACUGCAUUGUAGGCUAUAUGUUAUUGUAGCGAACAUUUUUUAAAUUUAGUUCCUUUUUAAAAAAUGUGAUUCUUUGUUUGAAGUGCUAACAUUUUUUAAAAUUGCAAACAAUUUCAUGUAAAAGACGAUUUAAAACACUGAACAAUUUUUGAAAACAUGAUUGGUUUUUAAAAAUUGGGAAUUUUCUCCGAAAUUCCCAGCUUUUAAAAAACAAUCUUCUGAAAAACUGAACACUUUUUGAACUUUCAACAAUUUGUGUACAUUUUCUUGAAUAGUAAACAGUUUUUUAAAUUCCAAGAAUUUUUUGAACCACCAAAUUUUUUAAAUUUGAACAAUUGUUUGAAAUGGUGAAUAAUCGAAAUUUCAAACAAAUUUCAAAAAUCUAAACCAUUUUUAAAGUCAUGUACAAUUUUCAAUAAUUGAGAUUUUUCAUAAAAAAGGAAUACAUGAAACAAAAAGAAAAAGGAAAAUAGAAAACUAGUAAAGAAAAUAAAGAGUAAAGAAUACAGUUAUGGAACCUUCCAGAAGGUUCCUAAACAUGUAAAAACCCAGGCUGGAACCUUCCAGAAGGUUCCGAAAACUGGGAGCGCUUGGCUACUAAAAUGGACCUGACGAUGCCUUGAUUCUCGCUGCUCGGCACCUCCUUAGCGUGCGUAGCGUCUACACUUUGCGGCAAACAGGCAUCAUGAGGGCGGGGGCAUGUCCUGUUGUGCGUGUUGGGCCUUUGGCGCGCAACUGUUUCCAGCAUGACAAUGGCCAGCUAAUAGGCAGUUUCAGAUUCUCCAACUCCAGAGCCGUCGUCCUCGUCAGCUGGCAGCGACUCGACGCGCACAGAGAUCAUCAUCUCCUCCGUUGACGAGGAGGACCAACAACCGCCGCAGUCCGCGCCGACGAUGCCGGACCAGGUCUACGCCGUCACCGACGCGGAGUUCAAGGAGCAUAUGAAGUUAAUGCUCGUCCACAUCAACGGCCCUGCUCCGCCAUCGGGGGUGCUCCUCCUCGUGAAGUCGGAGUCGACAUCUCCUCCAUGCUCUUCGUCGCCGCUGCCGCGGCGUCCAAAUCAGACGCCACGUGAAGGAAGAGCGGCUCUCGCCCCCGCCCCGCGCGCAUCGUGGAGGAGAGAUGCUCGCCGCCACCCCGACGCUUCGUCAAGGAGGAGCACCGCGUGUGGCCCACCCCGAUGCAUCGUCAAGGAGGAGCGCCGCGCACCGCCGCCCCUGCCCAAGGCACGCGGUCGCCUUCUCCACCACCUCGGCAGCGGUGUCAGCUGUUCGUCCUCCUGGAGUGCCAUGACAGCGCAUGAGUACAUCGACCGGGAGCAGUACCGACGGGACAGCCGCGCGCCGGUCCAAGUUCGCGGACUCGGAUGCCCCCCGCCACACAUCGCGGUGGAUCCGGUCCUGGCGUAUGUCUGAGUUAGAAGGGAGAGAGGGAUUUGGUGGAAUAGUUUGAUGUAUUGCUUGAGCCUCGUGGGCAUAUAUAUAGGAGUACAUGAUCUACUUGGAGUACAAGGCAAGCCAGAAUAUUUCCUAGUCUAAUCUAUGUUUCCUAAUACAAUCACGUUACUCAACAUCCCCCCGCAGUCACAACGGUAGCGACGCAGACGGUGAGACUGGAGAAGAAUCCGAAGNNNNNNNNNNNNNNNNNNNNNNNNNNNNNNNNNNNNNNNNNNNNNNNNNNNNNNNNNNNNNNNNNNNNNNNNNNNNNNNNNNNNNNNNNNNNNNNNNNNNNNNNNNNNNNNNNNNNNNNNNNNNNNNNNNNNNNNNNNNNNNNNNNNNNNNNNNNNNNNNNNNNNNNNNNNNNNNNNNNNNNNNNNNNNNNNNNNNNNNNNNNNNNNNNNNNNNNNNNNNNNNNNNNNNNNNNNNNNNNNNNNNNNNNNNNNNNNNNNNNNNNNNNNNNNNNNNNNNNNNNNNNNNNNNNNNNNNNNNNNNNNNNNNNNNNNNNNNNNNNNNNNNNNNNNNNNNNNNNNNNNGUAACGGUCGACGCAUCACAGAGUCGUGGCUGGAGUGGAAACCAACGAGGUUGCUCAAGCAGGCGGUAGCCCUUUGUGCCGUUUGUCGAGGUAGCCGAGAGCCGAGGGUGGUGUACCCGUGGUUGAGGUAGCCGCGCGAAGAAUGUCAUGGUCGAUGUCGAGUCGGGGAGCCGGUGUCGAGGAUGUCGCCAUGGAGCAGCGGGCGCAAGAGGGCGCCGAGUUAGCAUGGGCGCAGUGGUGUUGAAGUAGUGGUGCGUCGAGAAGAAGACGUUGUUGACGAUGCGUCGCGGCGGGUUUGCCAAGCCCGGGGACACAUCGUAGACGAAGGCACGCACCGGUGUUGCCAGCACCGGGCAUGCGUAGACGGACGAAGACGAAGUUGACGAAGCGCCACACCAGGCUUGUCAGGCCCGGGGAAACGUCGUGGACGAAGGCACGCAUCGGUGUUGCCAGCACCAGGCAUGCAUAGACGAGGACCUGCACAAGUUGUACGCCAUGUCGGAGGAGUUAGAGAGGCUAGCAGAGAAGGACUCGAUGACGGUUGCGGCGUCAAUCAGCGCGGAGCCGAUGUCGCGUGCGGUUGUCGGAGUAGACGAAGUGGUCGGGGUAGAUGACGGCGACGCUAGCGACGGGCCGAUGCUAGACGAAGACGAAGGAGGUGGACGGGCGGCGGCAGCGGCUAGGUGGGUAGCGGCGGUAGCCAAAGAAGAGCGGCGGCGGCGGCCUGACGGCGGCGGCUAGGUUAGGAGACGCCGGCGGUGCUCGAAGUAGGCGAAGAACCCGACAGCAUAACAAAGACCGGCGCGAACAGUGGCAUUCCCGCGCCAAGGAAGGUGGCGCGACGCAUACCACAGGAAGUCAACGCGCGUGGACGACGAAGUGGACCGUGGGCCGCCGCGCUAUGGCCCGAAGGGGCGACGCAGCGGCGGCGGGCAGGUCGGGGUGACAGCGGGAAGACCUCGGGGCGGCGGCAGGGACCGUGGGCCGCGGCACGACAGCCCGAAGGGGCGGCGCGGCGGAGGAGCGCGGGUCGGUGCAACCACGGGGACGGCCUCUAGACGGCGGCGUGGACCGCGUGCCACGCUCGCUACGGCCCGACAGGCGACGCAGUGGCGGCGCGAGGGUCGGUGCCUCCACGGGGACGACCUGGAGCGGACGGCCUCUGGGCGGCGGUGGACCACGGGCCGCGGUACUACGGCCCAAAGGGGUGACGCAGUGGUGACGCGGGUCGUGAAGCUGGGAGAAGAACCACGGGGCAGCGGCGCUGCGGCCCGACGGGGCGACGCAGCGGCAGCCCAUUGCUCGAUCGGUAGAGGGGCGCGCUGAACUCGGGACGGUCUUCACGGGGCUUGCGGAGGCGCACGCAACCGACGGCCCAGGUUGGUCGCACGGCGUAGAUGAGACGGAUCGCGGCGGCGGGCGGGUGAUCAAUCCGAUCGCGCGCGAGGUCGGGGACGCCGCUCGGUGGAGGCGCGGUGGCGGCGGAGUCCAAGAUGAAGCCGGCGGCGGCGGGCGGCAGGGCGGCUAUAAUUGGCCGCCAAAUGGCGCGAGGCCGCCGGGUCGGGGUGAUGCAGGUGUCCCGGUCGAAGCAGGGCGGUGACGGCCGGCGUAGAUCGACGGGCGGGCCGUCGCACGAAGGGCGGCGGUGUAGAGCCGCUGCAUGACGCGAGGCCGCCGGGUCGGGGCGACUAGCGGGCGGACACAAGGACGCCGCGCGAGGCCGUCGGGUCGUGGCAACCGACGGGCAGACGCGCGGACGACGCGCGAGGCCGUCGGGUCGGUGAAGAAGCCGGCCGAUCGCGCCGGUGUUGGAGUAGAGGCGCACGGGAUCGAUGGCGGCGAUGGGCGACGCAAACCGGAUCACAUAGACCGAAAAACCAAAAAAAAGACGCCGAUCAAAGCGACCGGCGAGAGAGAGAGAAAACCCGGAUCAAAAGAUCGGGGAAAAAGACUCUUUAGGGCAGAUGGCCAACACGGCCGGCGGACGAACCCUAGGUACAGGCGGCGCGGCCCCCGGCGGCGGUCAUGGAGGCUGACCGCCCCGAGGGCGGCGCGUGGGUACGGAAGCGGCGGCGGCUAGGGUUUAGGAUCGACUUGCGAUAAAUACCAAGUUAGAAGGGAGAGAGGAAUUUGGUGGAAUAGUUUGAUGUAUUGCUUGAGCCUCGUGGGCAUAUAUAUAGGAGUACAUGAUCUACUUAGAGUACAAGGUAAGCCAGAAUAUUUCCUAGUCUAACCUAUGUUUCCUAAUACAAUCACGUUACUCAACAAUCUGGACCCUGGACUGCUCGAUGACGACGUCGGAGACAGCCAAGCGUCGUCUCUGCCACCUCGACAUAAAGAUGGCCAGGUACAACGAGGAAUGGUCCAUUGUCGAUAUCGACGCCGCCAACGACGCUUCCUCCAACGACCGCCACCCUCUCGCCAAGCCCAUGUCCUUGAUGGCCGUGGUCGCACUUCGCACGACGCAAGAGGAAGCGGAGAGGAUCAUUCGCGGGCGUCAGGCGGCUGCCAGAAAGCCCUGCCAUGACGCCGCCACCUUCCGCCACCCCAAGCACGACGACAACGCGGGAUCGGGCGUCGAUGAUGGAGGAGGAGCCGCCUGCCAGCCCAAAGGCAUGGCGUACGAGAUCACCGUCACGUAUUGGAUAGUUUAGCGGUUUUAGCUGAUCGGACGAAAUAUCAUUCGGUUUUAUGUACAAAUGAUCCUAAUUUCAAUGAAAUCCGUCAUGUUUGAUCAAAUUUUGUUCGGUUUGAUCAGAUUUCGUUCGAUUAGUUUAAAUUAUUAUGAAAAUGUAUGCAACUAUGGUUGGAUGGUGUUAUUCCGCAUUCAUUUUCUUGAACUGGUCCUCUGAUGCAGGAGAAUUUUUGCGGUUGCCGUUUGAGAUGCCUCCUGCUGCUGGAGAUGCCCUAAAGCGCUCUUCCCUCCUCUCCUAAAUUGACCAAUAAUGGUCAGACGGAUCACACUGGUGGGCGCAGUGCACCGCCAAUCUUUUCCACAUUCACCGCCGAGUUCCACACUUCCCAGUGAAAAGCAGGAUAUGGCCUUGCACGAGGACGGCAACCGAGCGCGACACGACGCCGGCAGGACCAGGGCGAGGAGGCAACGUGCGAGUGCGUGUGCGCGCGCGUGCGUCGCAGUGGUCGCGCGCGCCAGAGGCACAAUCACGAACGUAUGCGCGCCCUUUCACGCGCGCGUCACCCACUGCGACUUCCCCAUACUUACUUUUGCUUACUGCUCCCUACCCAAACAGCAAGUCCUACUCCUACUACACGGGGCUAGCAGCAGCACUAGGGCUAGCCAGUGCAGGGCUUUGAGAAUUGAGAUCGAUCUUCACGUGAAACUGCCGACGAUCUCCCUUCCAAUAGCCUAGGCGAAACGGGGUGGCUAUGUACCUAGGCGGCUUUGUCUCGUUCCUUUUGUAUGCGUGCUCGUUUCAUCAGCUACCAAAUUAAAAGCUCAACUAGAAAUAGAGUGCCUUUUUUGUCGAGUGAGAGGACCGAGCUACAGCAGACGCGUGCGUCCAUUUUACGCCGCGUAUUAGGUUUUAGUUAAGUCAAACAUUGUAAAGGCGUCACGGGCGUGUUGACGUCCAGGAUCAUACAAAUGCACGUACAGCCGAUAAGGUCCAGGGCCUGCCGCUGAAUUCCGUGUCGAUGUAUCCAUCGACAGCCAUACGAGCCAUGAAUGAAUUCCCAGCUGCCUCUGCGCGUCAGCACUACUCGAUCGUGCAUUUCACUGCCUCAUCGAUCAUCUUUUACGCGGAGCGAGUGUGGUCCAAAACCAAACCAAAAGGCUGCUGCCUGCUGGGAGGAAGAAGCCUGGUACUUGGGCUUGGCUUAGUCCUAGCAUCGUGGUAGCGGUUGCAUUCAAGAUGGAUAAGCAGAGACAUGCAUUCAUUGAUCGGGCCGACCGGGAUCUCAAACCAGCCAGGCAUGCAUGCACCAAGCAAGCCAGCAUGCAGGUCGAGCAAGCAGCUGUAGCGGCAGCCAGCCGGCCAGCCACAGCGGAGUACGUACGUACGCACGCACGUACGUAAUGCGGACACGCCACCAUAUAUAGCAUUCUGCAGCCUAUCCUGCUCUCCGCGGACGUACACCACGUACAUGCACAUGCCCAUUCGGUCGAUCCAACGCCCUAGCUAUGGCCAGCACUGUUGGACCGGGACGGGUCGGCCUGGGAGAUCGAUCGAUGGAGAGAGUUCGCUGGGCGCAGUGGCGUGUCUAGCCUAAUUCUGCGCACGCAUUUGCAUGCGCAUGACUGAACAGCUCUUGCCCUCGCACAGCGGCGCUCGUACGUACGUACUUACGAGGAUCGAUGGAUCGAUCGUCGGUGCCGCUGCGUGUGGCCCGGGCCGGACGGCCGAAGCGUGGUGUCACGUCCGUCCGUCCGGCCGAGGCGACCCGUGCGCGCACAUGCACGUACACGGGCUGUUGCCGGGGGGGCUGACGGAGUUGAUGCUUUGCCAACCUGCCGUUGGGUGGCCUCGAAUAGGUUUCGCACUGUACGAGUAACAAGAACCUAGCCUCUCUAGGUCCCGUCCGUCCUCCUCCCCGCACUGUGCCUGAGUUGAUGCAUGCGAGGGCGAGGCACGAGCCGACGGACGGCACGUGCCGCUCAAACACAAGCCCGUUUUCCACAUGGAAUUUCCAUUCCCUACUUAAAUUUUAUGCGCACCGGAGUUCGGAAUGGUGUAUUGGCGUCGUAUACGUAUACGUAGGGUGGGUAGUAGCACGUGCCCACGUCUUUGCAAACAGAGCUGGCGGGUAGCCUGGCAUGGACACUGGGCUCGUAUCGCGCCCUGCAAUGUUUGGACUCCGAGUUGAGACACUCGCUCUGCGACGUACCGCGUACACCAUGUGCGAACGAACGAGACGCGCCCGUACCCGUGCCGUACGUGCUUCGUGGGGGGGCAGCGGCAGGGUCUGAGCGGUGGGGCCCGACCGGGGGGCGUACGUGCGCGUGCCGGGGCGCAGAGGUUCGUCCCUGUCGGGCGCGGGCAGAGGCAGGCGGCCUUUCCCUCCCCUCGUGCGCCCAUGCCGAAGUGACCGAAAUGACCCCGGCGCACGCACCGCCGGCCCCACGUGUCGGGGACAGACGAUUCCCACCCCGUGUGACAACACGGCCGGGCCUCGUCAGGGCUGGCCCCUGGGCUCGGGCGCCCGCGGGCCUUCAAAAUUCUGCUCCGGCGAGUGGGCCAGGUCAACGGUCAGCAAGGGUAGGGGCCGCGAGGAAAGAGACAGGUAGCCGCCGGUGGACGCCCACCCAUGGAAAUUUUAUUUGACAGGUCCACGGCCGGGGCUCUCGUAUCCCCCUCGCGCCGGUGCGCCCUUUUUCUUCCCUUCCACAGCUGGGUGAUGGCCGGAUUCGCUGCAAACAGUGGCGCUCACUGAGCGUCUGUUUACCUCCAUGCUUGUCUCACACGCCCCCAAAGUCACGAGACCGUCCAAAGAAGCAUGCAUAAAAGAUGCAAUAGAUUAAUCGGUACAUUUAGCUUGGAGCCCCGGACACAAGUCUCCAAACACCAGUGCAGCACUAUAGGAGUAUCACUGUGCGCCUGCUCCCUUCCAAAGGCAUGCAUGCUUAAAUGGAGCACCUCUGACAUGAUUUGCCUAAGAGCAAGAGAGUGCUAGAAAAAAUGUCCAGCGUGCUUUGAUGUUUUGCAAUCUCGACGGGGCAUCGUUCGGUAUCCUACUAAUACUUGGAGCAUGCAGAAACUAUAUGAGGUGAUGACUGCUUGUGUGAUCAUGCACAAUAUGAUAGUAGAAGACGAGCGUCCGGAACGUCUGUACGAUAAAGGCUUUCAGUUUCAGGGUGAGAAUGUUGUGCCUGAGCAUGGAGUAGCGGCAACAUUUGAGCAGUUCACUCAGUUUCAUGAAGACAUGCGUGAUUGGAAACUCACGUGCAACUGCAAAAUGAUUUGGUUGAGCAUAUGUGGACUCAUGUUGGCAACCAAUAGAUGUAUCUUCUUUUAUUCGUUUGCAAAACUAUGUGAAACAUUUUUAUUUGUAUUUGGCUUGUAAAACUAUACUAUUUAUUUGGGCGGCUAAAUUAUUUUGCUUGUUAUUUCAUUUCACAAUAUGUUUGAAUGCAAAUCAAUGUAAAAUUGGGCGGCCAGCCGGCCAUGCCUGCACUGCACAUAUGGGUCGGCGCGUUGGGUGCGCUGCUGACCCAUAUGAAAAACAGGGCGAACACCGGACGGGCGGCCGACCCAAACGGAUAAAAAGCGGAUGAAAUUGCCGUUCGUUUGGGUCGGCCCGUUGGAGUUGCUCUUAGGCCAACUCCACCGCGCGACCCUAUCCUGUCCGCCCCCGUCCGUUUGGGGUAAAAGGGACAAAUGAGACGGCCCAGCGCGCGGGCGCAAAUGGAAUUUUGUCCGCUUUGUGUCCGCUUUCAACCCAUCCCCCACCCAAGUUUGCGUCGGUUUUAGGGUGAAACGGACAGCGCGCGGACGGGCAGGACGCGCGCGCUUGUCCUCCCCUGACCCGCCUGUCGGUGGGAGAAACCAAACCCUCCACGCCCAUUUGGCGCCAUUUCCCCCANNNNNNNNNNNNNNNNNNNNNNNNNNNNNNNNNNNNNNNNNNNNNNNNNNNNNNNNNNNNNNNNNNNNNNNNNNNNNNNNNNNNNNNNNNNNNNNNNNNNNNNNNNNNNNNNNNNNNNNNNNNNNNNNNNNNNNNNNNNNNNNNNNNNNNNNNNNNNNNNNNNNNNNNNNNNNNNNNNNNNNNNNNNNNNNNNNNNNNNNNNNNNNNNNNNNNNNNNNNNNNNNNNNNNNNNNNNNNNNNNNNNNNNNNNNNNNNNNNNNNNNNNNNNNNNNNNNNNNNNNNNNNNNNNNNNNNNNNGCCCCGCCGAGUUCCGACGGCCUGGCCGUCGACCCGCCCGCAAAGGUGAAGAAGAAUGCGCCAAUGAAGCCGUGGUCGGUGUGCACGCCGGAGGAGAUCGCCAAGUUGGACGCGGAAUCGGCAAAGAGGAGGGAACGGAGAGCGGUCGUCAAGGUCAAUGUCGUCGCGGCCAAGUUCGCCGCCCAGCGCGAUGAGCUGGAUGCCGCGCGGCCGACGAGAAGGAGGAUCUCGCCAACAAAGAGCAUGCCAUCCUCAUGCUUGGCAUGGGCCGUCCGCCCGGGUUCCCUGGAGCGGCCGUCGGCCCGGUGAGCACAGACUCGUUGGUCGCCCGGCUUACGCACUGCCAGUCGCCGACCUCGCGCACCGCGCCCAUGUCGCCCGGCUUUCCUCCACCAAGGCACGACGGCCAAACCCGUUUCUCGGAGUCGCCGGACGUGGGCUUGUUCGCGCCAUCGACACCGCACCCCUCGGCCGUCAUCGACCUCAACGUCACGUCUGGGUCCAGCAGCGGCGGCCGGCCGUCCGUCGAUAUGCAAAGAAAGCAGGCACGGGCACCAUUCACGGGCACCAUGCCGGCCCCCCACGCCUUGUUUGACGGAAUGCCAACCCCAACGCCAACCGUCGACGACCCCUUCUACAACCAGUACAUGGAGGACGUGAUCUUCGAGGGUGGACAUGGCCGUGCCUACGACCCCGAGGAGACCCAAAGUCAGGAUGGCCGUGCCCAGUACGUACCCGAUGAAGAGGCCGACGACCGUGCUGACUACGACCAUGGUGACUCGUGGCAUGAAGACAAUGACAUCUAUGUCGAAGGUGAUGGUGAUGAAGAAGAAGGCAAUGACGUUGAUAUUAGUGGCGAGCCAUUGUUCAUCGACGAGCUCACCCAAAGAGCGGAAGCACAAAAUAAGAGGAAGAGCAUUCGCACGGGUUCAUACACACAAGAUGAGGACAAGUUGAUUUUCCAAGUUUGGAUGGAGAUUAGUCAAGAUCCGAGGACCGGCGCGCAACAAAAGGGCAUUGUUUUUUUAUGAGAGUCCACAAAACAUUCAAUGAAAUGAAGAUGUUCGAGCCCUACCAAAUUACAAGCAACCGUGGCAUCGGCUCGAUUCAAAAGAGAUGGUUGUUCAUCCAACAAGAGUGCAACAAGUAUCAAGCCGCAUUUGAGAGCGUUCAAGCACGGCCCGUGAGUGGUCUCGGCGUUGGGGACACGGUAUGCUCUCCUCUUCCUAGCCCUUUCCUUGCUACGGCCAUGAGACUUCAGCCUUGUAUAUGUUUGCAUGUUCACUUCUUGUUGAUCAUGUGUUGUAGGUAUUUCAAUCUUUGGAGGCAUUCAAGGCCCGUCACAAUGACAAGCCAUUCACUCUUACGCAUUGUUGGACACUCAUCAACAAUUGCCCUAAGUUUAAGGACCAAUACCGUGAACUACAAAGGAAGAGAGGACUGAAGACGACCAAGUUCGCCGGAGGUGGAGAUGGCGAGGCGUUGAAGAGGCCGAGGGGCAAGACCAACUCCAAGGUUGAUGACAUACGUGAUGCCUCAUCCAUGGCAUUGCAUGACACUUUGCAUGGCAUGAUGUCUCAAAAGGAUGUGAGGGACGAGAAGAAGCGGCAAAGUAAGGACGAGCAAAUGAAGCAAUACCUAGACCUUCAAAAAAAGAAGUUUGAGAUGGAGGAGGCGUCCAAGAAGAGGAAUAUCGACAUAGAGGAGGCGGCCCGGCAAAGGCAGCUCGACAUGGAAGAGGCUGCCCGGCAAAGGCAGCUCGACAUCGAGGCCGACAACGUCAAGGCCAGGCAGAGGUAGCUCGACAUCGAGGCCACCAAUGCCGCCACCAAAGCAAAGGCGGUGGCCCUUGCGAUCAUGAGCGUGGACUUAUCGAAGAUGAGCGACAAGACGAGGGCCUGGUUCGAGGCCAAGCAGAAGGAAAUGCUCGACGCCGAAGGCCUGAACUAGGUCGUCCGAUCGGCCGUAGCCGUUCUUUUUGGAGGCUGGCAUGGGUGUCGCCCGCCCGCUGGGCCGCUGGCCGUGUGCCGACGAGAAAACAAUCAUUUUGGUGGCCGGCUGUGUUGUCGGCCGCUGGUUGUGUUGUCGGCGAGGACAACUAUUUAUUUUGGAGGCUGGCUGUGUUGCCGGCCGAUGGCUGAUGCCGGCAAUGGACGUGUAGGCCGCUGGCUCUGUUGCCGGCGUGAUGAACCGGGGCCGCUGGCCUGAAUUAAGGCUUGGCAUUUGAAACGCUGCUUCUGGUUUUUUUAAUAGACGCGGACAGGAUGAGGCAAAUGGAUGCGGCCACGCGCUGCGUGCACGGCCACCGCAUCCCAGGACACGCCCGGACACGAUCCUAAAUCCCUACCCAAAACCAAACGGACAGAAUGCGGACAAAACGAACGUUCGUUUCGGGUCGCGCCAUGGAGUUGGCCUUAUGGCAAAUACUAGUAUGACCUUUGGUGUACAUUUGUGAGCUGUGAGACUGUGGUGUGGUGUACGAUGGUAGCGGGGGUCAUCAGGAAACAAUCUACUCCAUCUCCAUGGCCGGAGGGUGGUCCAGGGCCGGUGACAGAGGUCCCGUGUGGGUUUGCACGUGUGGCAGUGGCCGGCGCGUCCGCUUUUUCUUCACGGGGACGUAUACCGGUCCACCCUCUCUCCGCCUUUUCUCUCGCGGCGCGGAUAUCGAUUGCUCUCUCUCUCUCUCUUUUGCUCGUACGACCGCACUGCGUGCAGCACCGCACUGCUAGUCCUGACUCCAGUCCCUGUGCAUGUGUACCAGCACUACUCAUACUCACGAAAGACGGGUCGUGGAUUUUUCACCGCAGGAUCCACGCACGAAUGAUCUGUAGGCCGCGGACACACAGUUGAACCUGUGGAUUCCAGUGGCCGUUGCACUGCAGAUGUCAUGGUGAUUUCGGGUCGAUUGAUCCCGAACCGGAAGUGUACAAAAUGCGACGGGUCGAGGAGUAGAUAAAUUAUUCGUCGGCGUUGGAGUCAGUGGAGAAGGGCGGAGAGGAGAAGACGACCGCAGAACAGCAGAAGUGACAGGUUCUUGGCCCUAGUCAAAUACGUCGUCUCUGAAGUCCAUACACGGAAGAAAACAAACCCUGAUCCAUGUCCCCUGAUACGUAUUUGGUUACAACUGUUUAUCGAGUCUUAUCCCUAAAAUGGGCAAUGCUGCACAGCAGUACGACUUUUUCUUCUUCUUACGUGGCCACAUUAAUUUUUGCCUGUGACAUGUUUCGCAAAUUUCAACAUGCAGAAACUAGGCCUGGAGUAUAUUGCGAUCUGUAUGUGUUGAAGGGAUACGGGAGACAAAGAUCCUGCAAUUAAGGGUUUCAUCAAUACUACUCCCUCCGUCCGGGUGUAUAAGUCAUUCGCGUAGUUCUAGGUCAUCGAUUUGAGGAAUUAAAUAUGUGUUAUAUGUCAUGAAAAAUAUACCACUAGAUUCCACACGGAUGUAGUUUCUAAAUAUAUAUUUUUUGUCACAUAUAAUACAUAUUUAGAUAGUUAAAUUAUCGACCUGAAACUACACGAAUGACUUAUACACCGGGACGGAGGUAGUACUACUCCAGUGGCACUCGACAUCUGUGUACAUAGGAUGCUCUUAAUUGGUGAAAGGGAAAGGCAUGGGAGCAACCGACACGCAUGCCGAUAGGAUCAAGCCAGGCAUCAUCAUCAUCGGCCCGAACACUGACCGCUGCGUCGCACGGGGCCAUAAAUACGCUCUACCAGUCGACACACCCAGACCCAACCCUCCAGGCCCUGGACGCGGUCGGUCGGCCUGGCCGCAGCGUUUCGUCGGAGAAAUGGCCAGAAUCAGGUUCGGGUCAGAUCAGACGGCCGAUCCGAUCGGACGCUUGUCGCACAUCCCGUCUGGUCCAUCGAUCUUUCACACAUCCACCGUCCGUGCCAACCGAGAGCGAGAGAGAGCUCCCGUCCCAUGGUAGGGUCCAUACGUACGUACACGCAGGCGCUCGGUGUGCCAUGCACAUGCACGCACGCACGCACGCACGCACGCACGCACAUACGGGGGGUCCAGGAGCAGUCUGGUCCGACGUCGUAGGAGCACUGUUCCUGAUCAAAUCCAUCCUAGGCUCUGUAUAUCCGGCCGGCCGGUAGGCCCCCCGAGAAAGGCGACGGGAGCCCGUUCCGGAUCCGGCCUCGUGCGCCGGCCGGCCGGCACCGGUCGACGGUGAUGUGGUUGCCUGUACCUACAGCGGCGGGCGUGCGGGCGUGGAUGCCGCGCCAUGCUCGCCGUGACGCUACAAGGCCGGGCUGGGCUAGCUCCCAGCACAUGUGCUGUUUGAUCCGCCCAGACGCGGGUCGGCUCGCUUUCGAUCAUUUCGACGUGACCGCGCGCAUGCACUUGCCCGGCCGGCUCGACCGCUCGACACGAAUCGCGUAGGAUAGAUCGCCGGGAAUGACCGCCGACUCAUUCACCGCACUUACCGGGGCAGUGUGAUUUUUCUUCCGUACCACCCUACGCCUACGUGUUGAGGGUCACGAGAUAACCCACGGCGUUCAAUUAGCUGUUGAUGGGAAUCAAACUCCAAUCGGUCGAGUUUGAGAGGAUGCGUGAUGUGGCUGUUUGUAAUGUUCUCCCGAUAGUUCACUGGCCGGCCAUGUCGACGCUUUUUUUUGCUUUACAUUGACGUGAUAGCUAGGAGUAGCUAGCUAGUAGCUUUAUUACCUUUAACCUUUACGACCAGGGGCUUAAGCUUAUGAUGAGCAUGCCCGCGGUCUUCACGUCUCACCUUCCUCUGACGGACCCCUCUUCUGUUCAUAAAACCAGGCACCGCAAAGCAUCUGACCGGACUCGGCCAUUUUUCUCUUUAGAGAAAGAGGAUAUAUGGAGAAAGACCAACAGCGACUAGAAGUUUAAGAUCUCAUUGUCAAAAACGGUGUCUUAGAACAUUUCCAACGUUGACUCACAAACGUCUUCGUUAUAUUUUCGUUUUUAUGUCCGGACGUGGUCCGCUGACAUGACACGGAAGGGAGUCAUGAAAUGCUAAUCACAUAGUAUCCGACUAGGAGGAGAAAAAGUAGGUGGCCAUCAUGCAUGUGGUGGAUAUUUGUGGUUUAUUGUUCGGUUGGAAGGAGAGAGGAGAGGGAGACCAUGCAUUUGUGAUUGGUCAAGUGCAUGUCCGGAUUCCGGUAAAACUUCCCCACGUUUUUCUCCUGGAUAGUGUAAUAUGUACGUCCGGACUGCUACGCGUACGUAUACAAGUCCCUGUUGGAUGGCAAAAAUGGACCGGACACUACGAUUCGGACGUAUAGGGAAGGUUUAAGGGUCCGCCUUGAAGAUGCCCUUAAGCAUCUCCAAUAGAACACUAUACUCCGCCCCAUAUGUCCGGGUGGACAGCUGGAAUACGGACUAGACAAAAAAUGUCUCAUAGCCGAUCCCCAAUACCUAAUCCAUAUGUGAGGUGGAUUUAGGGCCGUCUCGACUCGUCCGCCACAUCGGGCUGACCACCUCGAUCUCAUAAAAUCCAUCCCUAUCCCUACCCCCGAUCCAGCCUUAACCAUUUUUGAAUAGUACACUCCACUUCUCUUCGCUUCGCACCGCUCCUCUCCGGUCAUCUUCGGCCAUCUACAACAUGGUGAAUAGUGGAUUUGAGUCCAUCGUGUCUAGAUCUGUCCAAGGGGAACUCUUCACCUGCUCGCACCAGGAGGAGAUAGCAGUCCGGCUCGCGCUCCGCCGAUCCUAGGGCAAGACUCGAGAUCCGCCGUCAGAGCCUCCCCGAUGCAGAUAUGGCAGCGCCGCCACGCCCGACAAAAGCCUGCAACGCUCACGGCGUAUGUCCCAUGCGUCGUCGCAGCUGAACCUCGGUGAUGGGCGCUUAUCCCCGCACCAGCCUCGGCUUCAGAGUCCGGGGCUAGCGAGCAAUGCGCAUGGCCGCGGAUGCGGGGGCUCCUUCGAGGUCGAGGCGUUGUGUGCCUGGAGUGAGAAGGCGAAGGACUGUCGCGGCUCCUACUCAUCCACCACAUCUAUUGUGGUGUUGGUGCCCCUCGGAUCCGACGAGGACCUGGUCUUCUGCACCGUCAAGCAGUAGUCCGUAACCGCCAAAGAGUCGGGCGCGCGCUACCAUAUGAUCAACGCCAAAACGCUCGCGGAAGCGGAGGAAGCCUGUGCUUGGAUCCACGUGGAGCGGCAAGCUAGGGCUGCUCGGGUUCUGGCAAAGAAGCAAACCCGGGUCAUUUGUGCCCUAGUUAACCUACCCCUAAAAUCAAGCGAGAACAUGUCCAGUAUUGCAUCCAACACAUCCAACUAUGGCAGCAAGUAGAUCCACCUCAACUCCUAUGUCACCAUCAAACACUACUUCCACGACAAAGACGACGACAACACCAAGGGCCAGGCAACCUGUCGGUGAACUUCCCCUAUCAAUAGUCCUACCUUAGUUUAUGCUAUUGUUUCGAUGAACUAGUAGAACAUGUCGUCAUUUUGAUAGUUCGAUGGUAUGUAUGAUAAACUCACCUAUGUUAUGUUCUAGUUUGCUAGGUCAUAGCAUUGCAAUGUUUAUACUAUUCAUGAACUAGGAGCUAUGAAAGCGAAGUACGUGUGUUGAUCGACGAUGCAUGCUUGUGUAUGUAUUUGAGAGUUAGGAAAUGGGGAGCACGGUUGUAAGCGCACACCAAUGAGGGAUGAGCCCAUGCCGUAUCCGAGCGUGUCCAUGGACAUAUAGAACGCAAAAAUUAGUUGUGUGUGGUUGCAAAUGACCUUAACUCAACAAAUACUCUUAAUUCAUGAAAGAGGGCAUUUGUUUUCCAUUGUCACUUGUCUCGACCUGUCUAGUCCACGGUUCAAGUUAUCUCUAAUUUGUAUCCACCACAUAAUUUGAUCCAUAUGUUUGGGAGAUUUGUUUUAACAAAGCAACACGCCACCUCGCCGAUUUCUAUUAGAGAAACCGGCACAAUAUUUACAACAUCGUCAACGAUGAAACAAAGAAACAAAAAGAAUCCAACUACAACUAAAAGAUCAACCAGGAAGUAACAAUAUAUAUGAGUUUAGCCAGAACAACUUAACUAGGUGCUCUAGGAAAGCAUAGCUAAGGGAACAGCCAAAAAUAAUCAAAAGUAAAGAAAUGGUCGUUUAAAUCACAUUUUUAUUACAUACGCAUCAAGCACAACCCAAAGUAAAAUUCCAGGAAGCAACAUAUUCUUCUCUUCUUCACAACUCCAGUCUUCUAGCACCAGGUUCCAUCCAUGCCUUUGAGCAUAAGCCUCUCUAAGCACCAUCUUUGAUCAUCUCACACACAUCUUCAAUUCUUCUUCGCCUUGGUUCUUUUUGCAAAAUGCUCCAGCUUGUAAGAAAGUGACAAAAGUUAGAAACCACAAUGGCCACUGUAAAAGAAAACACUAGUUGGAUCACUGGGAAACUUCUUCUCAAAGCAAACUUUGUUUCUAGCCUUCCACAAUAUCUACCAUAGACUAACUUCUCCCUUCACCACCAGAGCUCUCUGUCUUUGGCGAAGGAUUGAUCCUAAGCUCAUACUAAGUCAUCUACAUUAUCAUGAGCCAUAUCUAUUAAACCACAGGCAACCACUUGCCAAAUUAAUUUGGCCAAAUUGCAUUCAAAGGAAGUGGCUAAUUUCUCUUCUUUUUUUCUCACAGAAGUGACACUGGCCAAUGCGAGUCCAUCCUCUUUUGAGCAGCUUAUCUUUAGUCAGGAUACCAUCCUUCAACAUUAGUCAAAGGAAAUGUUUAAUCUUCUAUGGCAACUUCAACAUUCAGAUAAAUCUGUAUCCCACCAAAGCACGUGCUUUCAAAUGCCAAUACAAUUGCUUCACCACAAAUUUACUAUUGCCAUUUAAAGUGCAUAUCACUCUGUCUUUGUCUUCAGUCGAAAUCUCCUCACCGACCAAGCUACGAAGAUCAGCCCAUUAUUGUUCAAUGUCUCCAUACAUGGUUCUUUUGAAUUCAAAAUCACUCCAUCCUCUACUCUUAACUGAUUGAAGGGUACUUAAGUUGCUAAAGGAAAUGGCAUACAAUCUAGAAAAUCUCUUUGCGAGAGCCAGAUCAUCAAGCCAAAUGUCUUCCCAGACGGGAGUUUUCGCUCCGUUUCCUAACACCCUCCCGACAAGGGGGUAUGUUUGGAAGAUAGUUGCAUGGUUUUUAUAUAAUGAAAAUAAGGGUUGUUAUCCAUGUCGGUACUUACAACACUUUGUUGGACGUUAUUGUUUUGCAAGAACCAUAUGUAUUUUAACCAAAGAAAUGUGCCCUUACUCGCAAGGUGGCCCUUAUGUACUCGUGUACACGUUGACUUUAUAUUUAAUGAGUAAUGCUACAUCUACAAAAGGUUGGUCAAUUUUUUUACAGGCAAGCUAAUGUGGGGGAUUAUGAUUGAUAAUAAGGGAAUGAAGAGGCCCAUCCCAAAUUUGUAGAUUCUUGGUAGAUCCGUGCUUGUGUUUCGUUUGCGUUUCUCUCGUUGAAGAAAGGGACAUCGAUAGCGUGAAUGCUGUACGUCCGUGCCUGAAUCAAGUUGGAGUUGUUCACGCACGCACCAGGACGCAGAAUGUGUUUUAGACCAAGGAAUUUCUUUUUGUUGGUCGUAUACAGAGGCAGGAACAUGAACCCUUUGGAGGGUCAUUUUGACAUCCCGACUAGAAGCUGUAAACAAAAGAGACGUGGCCACGUUUUGCCUUUCCUUGUCGUGCACGCUGGCCUGGCUUAACAUGUUAAGGCUCGUGCAUUCAAUUGCUCAUCUAAACCUAGUUUCUUAAAAUGUAAUUCCUCUGUAAACUAAUAUAAGAGUGUUUAGAUCACUAUUUUAGUAUUCUAAACGUUUUUUAUAUUGGUUUGCAGAGGGAGUACUCCACUAGUAGAAGGGAAGUACGCGUACUGCCACUACGAGUACUUGGCAAGUUGGCAACCUUCUCGGCGGGAGCUCGACCUGCCAGGGUUGCUGAUUUGACGGCUCCCUUCUCGGCGGACGGCCCCGUUGUCGUCGGCCAACCCAUCAUCUAGCGGUGCCAACGGCGUAAUGUGCCCAUCGUCAAGCCGAGCGCCAUGCAGUGUCAUGAUCGCUCAGGAUGCGUCGAGACAGGGGCAGGUCCCGGGUAACCAUCCAAAUUAAUUCCACCUAGAGACUCAAAAGGAGUAUCUCUAUCAAUUUUGCAAGAGGCGCGUGCGCUGGAAGACCGUACCAGCAGUACGUACUGUGGUAAUCGUGGACCAGCGCUUCAUGCUUAGCGUUACGGAUUGACCACCCGGCAGGAGUUUAAGAGCAGAGAAGAGCAGCAGUAGCUGCGGAGACAUGCAUGUGCCAACCAAGCGUACUUGUCCGUCUGUCUGAUUAAUCGAGUUCAUUAAUCCAGGAUCGAGAAAGGUGGCACAGUGCAGUGCGACGAGGCGGAGCAGGACGCCAAGGACUGAUGGGACGGCCAUUGCAUCUAGAUUAGGCGGAAUCUAGGUGGCCUAGCUACUCAUGUUCCGCAAUUAUAAAGCGCCAUCGCCAAACGAAGAACCUAACAAAAAAGAGAGAGAGAGACGAGCAAACAUAGAACGAGAACGAGAUGAUAAUCGAUCCAGUCGGUCCACCAUGGGCCGAUCUUCCAGCCGGUGACAAGCAGUACCGGCACUCCGAGUGUCCGACCCGUCGUCCAUCCGUGAGCUGAUCGGUCUUGUGGCCAGUGACAAGCGCCAUCAGGACCAACACGGCCAUGCGUGUGGAAAGUACCUACGCUACGUGUAGUACGUGCACGCAUGAGGUGGUGAUGAGAUGCGUAACUCGGAGACGUGACGGAACGAAACGGCGAGAGACUGAUGUGAAGGCAGUGGUUGGCUCUUGAACGCUGAUAAGCCAUCAUGCGGGUGGUUGGGUGCGAGCAUGGCCAUCUCAUCUCAUGGUUAAGUCGGUGGAUUAGACCGAUGGGCGAAAUUACCACCAGUACACUCAUUUUUUUAGGGUACACUCCUUUUUUUGAGAGAGAGAGAGGAGAAGAAGCAGCAGUACGUACACACUCAUACGGCCAUACCCGGCCAGCCCACGGGUCCCGGUAAGGGGUGCACGGGCCGCCGCUGCCAGGCCCCGGCUCGGCCCGGCCUCUACCGGCAGCGGGCCCACCAUGCUGGGCGCACAGACUGCGAGCCGGAUUGUUGCCGCCGCCGCCGCUUGGCCCGGCCGGGCGCGACCCGAGCGAGCGAGCGAGCCACACCCGAACCUCCCAACCAAAGCCGCCUCUACCCUAAAAAAAAAAACAAAGCCGCCUCUCCCUCCACNNNNNNNNNNNNNNNNNNNNNNNNNNNNNNNNNNNNNNNNNNNNNNNNNNNNNNNNNNNNNNNNNNNNNNNNNNNNNNNNNNNNNNNNNNNNNNNNNNNNNNNNNNNNNNNNNNNNNNNNNNNNNNNNNNNNNNNNNNNNNNNNNNNNNNNNNNNNNNNNNNNNNNNNNNNNNNNNNNNNNNNNNNNNNNNNNNNNNNNNNNNNNNNNNNNNNNNNNNNNNNNNNNNNNNNNNNNNNNNNNNNNNNNNNNNNNNNNNNNNNNNNNNNNNNNNNNNNNNNNNNNNNNNNNNNNNNNNNNNNNNNNNNNNNNNNNNNNNCACGCGGUGACGCCGGCGGCACCACACCCACAGACACGGCGAGACCACACGGCCCCAGCUCUGGAUUUCUCUCUCUAUAUUAUCUCUCCUCUCACUCUCCCCCCCUCUCUCCCUCUCUCCUUUAUGGCUCCGGCGCUGCAGAGCCCGCACGCACAGUCCAUGACUACUCCGUGCGUGCGUGCGGAUUGACUCGCGCGCGCACACAAACGCCACUCCACCCCACCCCCUUCCGUCCGCGUCAGUCCCCCUCGUGCACCGCAGCAGCAGCCAGCGGCAUUCAGCGCCGCUCUCGCUCUGCUUUUCUCGCUUUGCUUUCUUCUCCCUCCUGCUGCUCCCCCCUCGCCGGUCACCACCUCCGGCCUGUCCUCGAGCUAGCCUGCCAGGCGCGACACAGACGCCGGACGCUCGGUGGGUGAUACGAGAUCUGGUGGGCUAGCUGAGCGGAGACGCUCGGCCACCUAUGGGCUGGGCGAGCCGGCGCGGCCUCGCCGCGGCGCUCCUCCUCCACCUCCUCUUCCUCGCCGCUGCCCUCGGUAAGACAGCCAGCGACAUGCACUUUCUCCGUGUUUCUUCGGCAUUAUAUACAAGGCGAGCUCUAGCUCACACGUACGUGCGCCGCGCAUGUGUAUGUCUCCUGCAGGUGGGUGCGCCGCGACGAGCCGGAGGAGCGGCAGCAGCGGCGGUAGAGCAGCGCUGGAGCAGUACUCGUGGGAGGACCCUGCGGAGGCGGCGCGGCGGAGGGAGCUGGUGGGCCCGGGCUCGUCGCCGCCGACGUGCCGGAGCCGGUGCGGGCGGUGCCACCCGUGCCGGCCGGUGCACGUGGCCAUCCAGCCCGGCGUCAGCUUCCCGCUCGAGUACUACCCGGAGGCCUGGCGCUGCAAGUGCGGCGACAGGCUCUUCAUGCCAUGACCGCCCGUCCACGGCUCCGUCUGCACAUAUAUGUAUGCCCUGAUGCUGCUCCCGGCUCGGUCCGCCAUUACGGCUGCUUCAGCUCACUCACGGGAGCUAGCUCCUCAAGGCCACGGCUGCCUGCGCGCACAAGGCCAGGAGGUCCAGCACACGCACGGCAACCAGAGGGAUCUAGCUAGAGAAGAAGAAGAAGAAGAAGAGGGAGCGGAGCGCAGAGAGAUCCAUGGAACCAUGGAAAGAAACCAAACAUGGAGGCUUCCUCCUCGAUGUAUGUAAUAACAUUGUUCAGUUCUUGGAGAUUUUAACCAGUGUCUUGUCGUCGCGUCCGAAGAGGUGGAGAGAUGGAUCGAGAUUGUUCGUUCACGCUCUCUCUCUCUGGUUCUUCUCCUUGUCGAGUCGCCAAGCCAACUUCCGGUUUUGAGGAGUGAUUUUCCGACUAAUUUUCGUUAAUCUAUGAUGUAUAUUUCCUCAUGGACAACAUCUUCCUCAUCAUUUUGCUCUGUUCGAGCAUGCUUCCUUACGUAUAAAAGAGCCAGUAUGCCAAACUAGCCACAAAAGACGCUUUGGCCGAGUGGUUAAGGCGUGUGCCUGCUAAGUACAUGGGGUUUCCCCGCGAGAGUUCGAAUCUCUCAGGCGUCGAUUGUUUCCCUCCUUUUUUUUACGCUGGAUCUCUCCAAAUUUUCACUUCCUGCUACUACACGCGUUUUCCAUGUCUGGAUGGAGCCUGUAAUUGUUCUUGGGAUUCCCUGGAUCUUGUGGCCAGUUCAAUACACCACACCACACCCAAAGAAACAAGAAACAAUCUCCCCCAUGAAAAAGUUCAGAACAAUUUCUUAUCCUCACUCCAUCCGUUCCAGCACAAGCGCACUCCAUGGCAGGGCAUGUGCCUCGUAGAGCCGCAUAUAGUAUGAGCGCGUACAGAAAACCAUGGCUAGGCCCCCAAAAGAUGAGGCGGGAACAGUAGCAGGCAUUUCCUCUUCCUAGGAGUGUAGAGCUACAGCUGCAGUGCGCGACGAACAGCCCGAGCUGCAUGCCAUGGCAGCUGCAGCAGUGCAGCACGAGCCCCUCUCUCUUUUCUUCAGACUCUUUUCUUCACAGGAGCAAGAAACAAAGGAAAAAGCCUGCGCGCGCCUAGUAUACAAACGCCACAGCAACAGUGGCCUACGGCACGGUAGGCUUCCCCCCGGCAGUGGAACUAAUUUAUGCUACUGCUACUCCCAGCUGCCGCUGCUGCUGCUUUGCUCGCGUCAAAUCAGCAUAAGUUCCCUAGAGAGGAGAGGGGAUGAGGAGGCCUGAAUGCCCUACUUUGGACGCCAUGCAUGCCAUCCCGUGCCCUUUUUUUACGUGUUUGUUUAUGAAUUAUCGCCGCCCGUCAUUUGUUUGCACGCAAUACUAUACUUAGCCGUAGGCUCAGCUCACACGCAGGCCUAUCUACGUGCAUGGCUGUAGCUCAAUCAUCUCUGAAUUAUGUAUGUUGGCGGCAGCGUUCUGCGCCAUUCAUUCAGGCACGCACGAUGAGGCUGCAGGCGUCCCCGGCGAGAGGGGGCAGGCACAGCCUCUGCGCCGAGGGAACAGAAACGGUGGCUUUCCUCCCUAUCGCCCCACCUUUUGGUCAUUCCGUCCGUGAAAACCUCGUCUCUUUCCUCGGGAGAGGGGGAGAGGCCUGGGAAUUUGGCAUGAACCUCGUUCCUUUCCUACAGUGUCUCUGAGCUGAGCUGAGCUGAGCUGGGGUGAGCUAGCUGGGGAUGAGAUGUGUGAUUUUCUUGGAGCUGUUUCUCCCGCGUGAAAAUUUUCCGGGGGCCGGCGUACUAACUCCUGUCAGUGAUGGAGACCGAGCCAUGUCCCUGAACAUUUUUUAAAGCCCAUGGAGCCGGCCAGGGAUGGUGGAUUGGUGGUGGCACAUGAGUCCCGAUAAAAGGUGAUCCAGCCCCGGGCAUCCUCGAAUUCAUUCUUUUAUGGCUCCUACAUGCGUUCAACUAAUAGUAAUUCCAUGACUUGAUCUGACGGGAGCACUGCUAAUAAGCUCAGCUCAGCUGUCGGCUGUCUCUCUCAUGCACGAAUCUGGCCGCCCAAAUUUCACCGGAUUCUUAUCUGGAAUUAGCUUACUGAAAAGGAUGCGUUGUUGGGCUGCUUGCAUCAUAUAAGUGGAUGCUGGUAGAUUUCUUCCAUUGUUAUAAAUGAAAUGCUGUUGGGAAGCAGGAACAUCUGUCCUCCUCUUGUGAGAUCUUUGUGCUCCUCCAGUUUCUCUCUAAAAUAUAUAUAGAGGACAUGAUUGGAGCACGGCUCCUUUCUGUGUGCAGUUUUUCGUCGUCAGAAACGCAAAGAGUGUCGUCCCCGUCGACGUCGUCGCAGGGUGCCACCUGCUCCCCCCUGCGAAAGCUUUAGCUUGGCUUCAGCACUGUGUCUACCAAUAGUAUCCUCGGGAGCGCGGUCGCUUGCUCUCGCAGCAAAGCUAGUGGUGGUUUCGCUCGCCUCCACGCGGAACAGAUGAGCGACGCAGCAGCGUAACUGUAUGACUGAAUCAGAUCAAACACAAAGCAGAGACGAGCAAGCGUUUCGCCUGCACGCAGACGCAAAGAUUCGCCAGGGCCGAGGCGUUGUACGUGCGUGCGACGCAAGCAAGCACAGUGAGAAUCUCUGAAUCUGCAGAUCAUGGCGGCCCUGUCAGAUGUUCAUUGUGUCGCUAAGCAGUGGCGGAUUAGGCGCAGGUAACCACGCGAGAUGAUAUUUUGCUUGGUGAGGCAGAGUGUUUUCAGUAGCAGUUGAUCCAGCCCAUGGCUCUGGUGUGCUGAUUGCUGAAUAUCGCCGGCAGCCAAGCCAAGGCUUUGGGUGCACGCCAUUUGCUCACGAAAAUUUGCUCGCACCUACUUCCUUCGUUCCAAAAUAGAUGACUCAAUUUUGUACUAACUUUAGUAUAAAGUUAGUAUAAAGUUGGUUCAUCUAUUUUGAAACGGAGGGAGUAGCAAUUACCGCGUCCCGCUUUGUUAGUUUUCCAAGCGAACUACAUUCAACAUUUAUCUUACCCAAAACUUCCACUCAUGAACAAACAAAACAAAAUCAGAGUGGGAAUGGAAUCGAAGGCAGCAUAUUUCAAAUUUUUUUUAGAGAAAUGAGGGGUACCAUUCAUGUAUAAUGUUCACAGGGAUACAAAUUGCUAGAAUGUCCUAGGUGGACACAUGCCAUACCUAAAAAAAAGCCACACAUGCCAACCCACUUAUCGAUUUUGUUUUUCACAACUGACAUUUCACUAGUUAACUCAUUCAUGGCCCAAGUACCAAUUGACAAGGCAGCUAUGAAGGCCCACGAUAAGGAAUGGUUGGUGGUGAGGGAAACCAAGCACUUCAUAGCUUGUUCUUUCAUUUUUCCGGCCCAGUACUAAUACUGCAGAUUGUAAUAAUCUCUAAAAGUAGGAGUACUAGAUGCGCGAGCAUGUGGGUCUGAGUUGAAAAAUAAAUUGAAAGAUCAUGGACAAGAAUGUGGAAGCAUUCAAUACCGGCUAAAUUAAAAGUUUUUGCUUUGAGGCUUGCGCGCCAAAGCUUACCCGCUGCAGAUGUUGGCACCGACUAGUGUUUGCAGCAUUUGUGGCUGGAGCGAGGAUUCGUGGAGUGCAGAAUGGCUUGAUGUGUUUGGGUACUGGUCGAUGAAGAACUUCUAUGAUAAACCGAGGAGCUGCGGUGAGCCAAAUGCUAGAAGCUGGUUGUUCGAGAUGGAUGAUUUCCUAUCCAGUACAGAUAAUGUGAAGAUGAUUACUGCCCUGUGGGCAGUCUGGAAGGCAAGGCGAGAUAUCAUACAUGAAGAUGUUUAUCAGAGCCCUUUUGAAACAUGCAAUUUUAUAACACAUUUGUUGCAUGAGGUGGGCUUGAUCGAUUCAGCAGAACAGAGAGGUCAGCAGGAGAGGCAGCCAAAGGGUGCUGUGAAAGGUAAUGUUGAUGCUGCAUUGUCAUAUGAGAACAACAGGUGCUCGGCUGCAGCUAUUUUUCGUGCUGAUGAUGGUACCUACCUGGGGGCUUCGGCAUUCGCUAUGGAGACUGUUUACGGUCCAGUUUGUGUUGAGGUAAUGGCGUGCCGCGAAGGGCUGUGCUUGAUGCAGGACCUAAAUCUGUAUAAGGCUGUUAUAGCCUCUGAUUCUACGGGGGUUGUUAGAAGUAUCUAUGAAGGAAGCAGAGGAGAGGAAGUCAUGAUCUUAACCGAAGUCACGCGCAAGCUGGAGGUUCUACGAGAUGUUUCCUUCAAACAUGAAACAAGGGUCUACAAUGUAGAUGCUCAUAAUAUUGCUAGAAUGUCUAGUUUUAUUAAAAUCUAAAGGAAGUACCAUGUAGAUUUUUUAUGAUGAAAAAUAUCAAACUUCUUUUUGCUUUGUUCUAUUUAUAGAGCAUAGGAUUCUGUCAUUGAGGAAAUCGACAUCACAAAUAAGAACAUGAAAAGUUUCAGCCACCCAACAAUCAAAUAGACAAUCGGUUUAUUUAAUAUUAUAGAAUUAUUCACAGAGACAGUUUAUUCCAUUUUCACACUAAAUCAUCAAUUCUCGCACCGUAGAAGAAUCAACAAGUGCAAAACAAAUACUGCAGCAGCGACAUACACCCAACAAAGUACAUCUCUAACGGGCUAAAAGCUCUACCCUGUCCGUGAACAAAUACUCCCUCUAGUGUUAUACCGUGGUAUAAACCAUCCUCUGUUCAU
Molecule: long non-coding RNA, 68702 nt
Filed under: Triticum aestivum (bread wheat)
Lineage: Eukaryota; Viridiplantae; Streptophyta; Magnoliopsida; Poales; Poaceae
Description: long non-coding RNA (TAES_LNC001076)
Rfam family: tRNA (bases 64580-64661)
Source: RNAcentral